This 58321-nucleotide long non-coding RNA is filed under the name Ananas comosus (pineapple). RNAcentral describes it as "long non-coding RNA (ACOM_LNC001099)". The record is from RNAcentral. Lineage: Eukaryota; Viridiplantae; Streptophyta; Magnoliopsida; Poales; Bromeliaceae.
UUGUUUGUUUUUUUUUUUUUUUUUUUUUUUUUUUUUUUUUCUUUUUUUUUUUUUUUUUUUUUUUUUUUUUUUUUUUUUUUUUUUUUUUUUUUUUUUUUUUUUUUUUUUUUUUUUUUUUUCUGCGUCUCGUCAUCAGUUGGUUUCCGGCAUGUUGUUCUCCGAAGAGGUGACACUUCGGCUCCGUCAUCUUUUUUCGAGAACUGAGUUCAGCUAUGGUAGUUCCGUCUUUUGGUUCUGUUUUUAUCUUGUGUUUGUCGUUGUUAUUUCAUUUGAAUGGAUUUUUUCUUUUUCCGUAAAUUUGCUAUUGAAUAUAUUAUGCGAUUUUGGGUCAUCGGGAGGGCCUUUAUGCAUUUUGGUUCGUCGUGGCUGCUGUUGGCAGCAAGUUAGGGCUGAGGAUAACCUCUGGACUGAUCAUCCAAGGCCCCAAGCCUUUGCAAGUGUCGGAAAGAGACUUUCAGCGCGUUUCUCGGCGAAAUCCGCCGACGGAACGCGGGAUCGGUUCGGAUUCCUUCCGACGGUGCUUCGUGAACUUUUGCGUAGUCGCUGAGCCUUGUUGGCUGGUCACUCGCAUCAUUUUGAGGGUUCAGAAAUGACGGGUGAGCGACGGUAGGUUCCGGUGUCGAAUUAGACACUUCCGGGAACCCGGAUCGAAAUGAUUAUCCGACGAUAAUUGUUUCGACGUGAGGAGUGGUGUUUGCUGCCAUGAUGCACGUUUACUCAUGUUUAGUGGCAGCGGAUGACUCAUAGCUCGAGACGGUAUGUUCCGGGACAGUUCGUGGCUCCCGGCGGAGUCCCCGUGCGAUUACGGGACUUCCGGCGUAUUACGGCGAUCGGUUUGGGAAACCGAUCUCCAUGGGUUUGCUUGUAGGUUGUGGAUUUAGUGGUUAUUAGCUGUGGGUUAGACACUAACCCGGUGGACCUUCCUUAGGUCCGGUUGACGUCCUUUUUCAGUCAGGAGACAGGCGCAGCAUUUGUACAGGUGGGUACUUCGAUCCGAAGUCGGUACAGUGGUGCACGCUCGGUGAUAUCUCUUCUAUCCCUGUUCUUCUAUUGCUAUUUUCGUAUUAUAUAUUGAGCUUGCAUCCCCGUUGUUUCUAUCAUACUCUACUCAUAUGUUUCUAUGCUUAGUAUCAUGUGUAGGAGUAGAGUAGUUUAUCCCUAUGUGAUACUGGUGACCUGAUUGGUCGGUUCUCGUACUUCGUUCGGUGAUUUGAUUGGUCGGUUCUCGUACUUCGUUUCGAUGACCUAGUUGGUCGGUGCUUUUAUCUUAUAUCUGUUGACCUGGUUGGUCCGUUGUUGUACUAUGUUUUGGGUUGGUCUGUUUCUUGACUUCUGUCGUUCGAUGACCUUUGAGGUCGGUGUACCCUGAGGGGUAGGAUUGUCGGCUGGUGCUGACGGUAGUUCUGAACUAUAUCGAAUACACUCCUGUGACCCAUCGGUCGGUUCUUGCGUUCGUACUUUUAGUUGACAUCGAGCAGUAUCUACAUAUUAUCUUUAUUUACUCUGCCUGGUUGUUCUAUGUGUAGUAUCCUGUAUAGGGGUAGAGUAGAUGGCAUUCGUAUAUACUAUACUUGUGACCUGGUUGGUCGGUUCUCCUGUUUGCAUCGGUGAUCUGUUUGGUCGUUCGUUACUUUCCAUACAUUGACCUAUCUCGGUCGGUUUACGUUGUUGCUUGAUGACCUAUACGGUCGGUAUGCCCAGAGGGGCAGUGAUUGUCGGCUGGUCGCCGACGGUUGGCUAUUGAUCAUAUCCGCAUUGAUCGCCACAGCUCGAGUGCAUUUCACGUACACCAGCGGGUUGAUCCCCCGCAGGAGGGUGUUCUUUUCCGGAAAAGUGGUCGUACAUCCGACCCGUGAGCCCAGUGGUGUUCUCUUGUGCUAGGGUUACAUGCCAGGUGUGAGCAGAUAGUGGCUUUUGCCUGAGGUCCUUAGACCGACACGGCGGUUUAGAUUGGGUACUUUUGGGACUUCCCGUCUGGUUGACGCAUAUAGCCAUAGUAGCGGUUGUUGCAUAUAUACUUCUAGUUCUUUCUUACAGUUUCUUGCUACUAUAGUUUUUGAACCCAUAUCCCUGUAUCUUCGUAAGUUGUACAUUACGUUAGCGUAGUUUCUUUAUAAUUAUCAUCUCAUUCGUUCAUUAUCCGUGGUAACUGUAUUUACUUAGCCCCAUACGUUGUCAUCUCUUCCUGAUCCGGUGAAGUACUCCUGCCUUCUUUCGCUUUUGCGGACCCCUGGGAGGGGAGAAUUACAGUUCUUCACCUCCCACUAUUUUUCAGGUAUCGCGGGCAGGACGUGAGUAGUGGGACGAGACGUGAGGUACAGUGUGGUAAGCGUCGAUAGAGCUUCCGUACUCACGGUUUAUUUCGAUUUAGUUAUUAUCCUGGCCUAUUUCUGUUGAUAUAUAGUUUAGUUGGUCUUAUGUGGUUCAGUAAUAUUUAAAUUUGAAAAGUGUGAUUUAUGGAUUUUUGGUAAAAUAAAAGAUUUUUACCUCUGUAGCGGUUUUUAAAAGAAUAAAUGGUUUCCUGUAUAGGAAAGUUUUCAAAUAAUUUUUGUGGAUUAUGUUUAAAGCCUUGAAUGUAAACGUGAGGUGAAUGGUGAAUGUAUGAAUGAUGAAUGUAUAAUUAUCUUUUAUUAUCUGGUGUGGUUGGAUCCUGGUUGUACUGUGUAUUGGUCGACCGCCGUGCAAUCAGGGGAGACUCUGUCCGUGUGAACAAGUGAUUCCCUGUAUUGUGCGGAUCUGGCAUAACUCAUGGGGUCAGGUUUCAAAAAAAUCAGAGCUUUUUCCGCUUUGUUUAAACUGAAAAGGGACCCCGGGGCGUGACCUACGCCGCUAAUUGAUAUUAUGUUUCCGUUACACUCUAACGCUUAAUCUCUCUCUAAACUUUUUUCUCUCUAAAUAUUCAACUUUUUUUUCUCUCUCUAGCUUAGCUUUCUCUCUCUUCUCUCUUCCGUCUUUAAAAUUUCAACUCUCUCACUUGUCCCCUCUAAUUUCGACUAUAUUUUUCUUCUAUGUUUUUUAUAUGCUCUCUCUCUGUAACUUAAACUCUCUCUCGCCUUUUUUCUAAAAGAUUUGAGACUUUUGGUAACAUUAUCUUAAAAAUUAAUGUAAAUAAUUAAUUAAUUAUUGUAUUUUUUUUGUAAUAUUAAAAUAAUAUGGCUAAAAUUUAAUAUUACCGGUGCGAACCAACAUAGGAAUUCACAUUCUUAGUAAUUGAAAUGAAUAUUGAGGGAGAAGGAAAGGGGUUGGAAAUAAGAUUCUCGGAUAUCUUAUCCUAGUUAAUCUUUUAUAAUGCGAACGGCAAACGCAGCCCUUAAUUUCAUCGGCAAUAAAAGGCACUAUUAUAUUAAAGAGGCUUUAGAAUUAACGAUAUUAUCAUACCCUCGCUUAUUUAGGUUUUAUUUUGCAUGUCAAUUUAGUCCCAAAUUAAUUUUUCACUUUAGUCAGUGCAAAAAUAAAAAUUCAAAAUUGAAUUUAAAAUUCGAAAUUAAUCUAAAAAAUAUGAAUUGUGCACCCUAAAAGGCCUCACCUUUAUUUUGGAAAAAAAAAUAAAGAGGGGAGGGUUGUGGAGGGCCCACAUGCCAUUUUUUAAGAACUUAAUCGCACAUUGAUCCAAGCCUUUUUACUAUUUUUUUUGAUACUUAAUCUUUUUUUGUUUUUGGCAAUCAAAAUUUCAACUCUAACCAAAAAUCACUAUUAAAAGAGGUUUAGAAUUAACGUAUUAUCAUACCUGCCUAUUUGCUUCCUUUGUAUGUCAAUUUUAGUGGAAGCAGCGGAUGCCUUUAUAAUCGAAUUUGAUCUAUAACGAUUGGAUCUAUGUAUUUAGGUUUGUAAUAACAAAAAAAAAUAUCACGAUAAAAAUUUCCAAACAAACAAUAUAUGAAAAAAUAGUAGCCUCUUUUUUUUAUGUUGCAAUAACCAAAAAAAAAAAGGUCAGAAAAAAAAUUCUUGAGAAGAAAGGUCAUACUCUCCGUUUGAUAAGAGAGAGGCGGCGCGAGAGCGGGGGCAAGCUUGGGAGGUGGUUGUUUGCGCGCAUAGAGAGAGAUAAGGUGAGAUAAGGAAGGUUGGGGGAAGAAGUGGGAAAGAUACGAAAGAGAGAGAGAGAAGAGAGAGAGAGAGAGAGAGGACGAGAGAGAAGGGCGAACAAAAUGGGACUGUAAGGGCUCUUUUUGUUAAACUCCAUAAAAGUCCUGCACAGAUCCUCAAAGCAAUCUAGUGGUUAAAACUCACUAGCGAAGAAGUCAGGCUGUGCAUCAAUAGCAUAGCGCCUGGCUCUCUGUCUCAAUAUAUAUAUAUAUAAAUAUAUAUAUAUAUAUAUAUUACUAUAUAUAUAUAUAUAUAUAUAUAUAUUAUAUAUAUAAUGAGGCUACUCUGCUUCUGGAAGCACGGAGCCUUCGUGCUUCCAGGUCCAGUUUUCGAUGUUGCGACUUUCGAAUCAUCGAUCGGCUCCGUUAAACUUAAUCUAGAGUAUUUGAAGUAUCUAGAAAAUAAAUUUUGUAAUUUUUCGAUACCAUUUGCCUAGUGAUCGAAGGGUUCAAAAUCAAUAAUUUUAAUGGCCGAGGUGAGCCGUUUGCAAGUUUAACGAUGUAGAAAUAUCCAAAUCACGUGAAAUUUUAAUAGAAAAUUCUUUAUACUAUAUUAAACAAGAUCAAUACCUUUGAUCUAAAAUUUUAAUGUCAUAUUAUCGCGUUUUGUAAGAUUUUUAUUUUCAUCUGUUGAUUUUGAGCCCCUUAGUUCACUAGGCAAAUGAUAUCGAAAAAUUAGAAAAUUUAUUUUCUAGAUACUUCGAAUACUCUAGUUCAAGUUUAACGGAACUGAUCGACGAUUCAAAAAUCGCAAUAUCGAAAACGACCUGGAAGCACGGAAGGCUCCGUGCUUCCAGAAGCAUAGUAGCCUCUGCAAAACUGCAGAUUUUCAGCUCUCGGGGACCGGUCCCUGAAGGGAGAGACCGGUCCCCGAACGCGUGCAGAAUAAGACAGCCGAAAAAUCGGCUAAGUCCUGGAAGGAUAGCUCUCGGGAACCGGUCUCUGUCUGAGAGACCGGUCCCCCAGAGACCGGUCCCAUCAGAGAGAGACCGGUCGCAUCGCGCGCAGCAGCUCUGGCUGCGCAGGGUGGACGUUCGGGAACCGGUCCCUGCUGGGGGAGACCGGUCUCUGCCUGCGCGAACUGCCCAGUUCGGGCAGUGCAUUAAGGUGAAAGUUGAGGGGUUUAAUAGCAUUUUUGCAGCCCAAAGGUUAUGUAGUGAGGGUAAAUGAGAUAUUUCUCUCAUUUCACCCCUCUCACACUCUCUUCUCUCCCUCUCUCUCUCUAGAAGACAAAAGAGAAGAAGAAGAAAGGAAGAAAGUGAGAAGAAGAAGAAGAAGUGAAAAAACUCCUCCCUUCAUCUCUACUUGAAAAAAAAGCUUGAGGAAGCAUUUGAGCCCUAAUGUAUAAAACCCUAGAAAAUGUUUGAAUGAACGUAGAAAUGUUUUUAAUGGAUAAUUAAAUUUAUCUAAUAGUUAAGCUCCUUUUUGCUCUUUCCGAGAAUCAAAACUUCGUUGCUUUAGCGUGACCUUGGCACCUCUAAUGUGAACAUCCAAACUAAGGUUUGGAAAGCCUAAAGAAAGUUCUAAGGAUAUUCUAGAGUAAUAAGAAGCUACUUUGCUCCCAAUGAAGAUCAAACCCGUAGGUUUGACAUGUAUAUUGGAUGCAGGGCACCAAAUUGAGGGCUUUUGCUCAAUAGAGGUUUCUAAUGCAUUGACCUCCUCUAGAAACCUAAAUUGUGGGUACAUUCGACGCGUUGGUUGCGCUCGAUUUAACGUUACGAAAAGUAAAUCAAAAGUUAUGAAGCAAAAUGGCUAAUAAGGGUUCCGUCUUGCCGCAGGUAAAGAACGAAAGCAUUCAAAAAUCCAAAAAAUAUCGGGCACCUUAUGAAAGCCUUACGAAGUGGUGUGCUUUCGCAAACUCAAUUGAAAUCCUCGUCUAUCCUAAUGUGUCAUCUUUUCGAGCAUUAGUUCCCUAUAAUAUGUCAUGGGACAUUUUAAGUGGUAAACGUUAUAUGCAAUUGAGAUUGCAUGAUUGUGCCAACUGCAUAAUAAAAUGGUUGAGACUCUAAAACGUCCAAAACCUCUAGAUGUAUGCCAUGAAGAAAAGUAGAACCCAAAGGAGCAAAAAGAACAGAGUCGGCACAAAAGCAUACGAUCGAAUGGCAUUGAAAACAUAAGCUAAAGUGACACUAGAAUUUGUCGAGCCAAAAGAACCAAAGUGAUGUAAAGAAAUAUGAAAUACAAUGUGUACAAGUAAAAGUAAAUGGCAAUAAAGACGAGAAUGUAAAGAAUAUAAUUGCUAAGUUAGCAAAAGUAAAAAAAAUAAAGAAUAUACGAUCUGCAUGAGUUUGCAAACAUAAGUAUGUAAUGAACACUAGAGCUAUUUAAAUCAAAUUGAACUUAUGAAAUCCCUUUAGUUACAGAUAUGAUCAUACUUGCCUAUGAAUUCCGUGCCGAGGUUCCGCUCACCCUCGGGCGAUGCCUCCGGAUUAUAAUGCAGUAUCCGGGUGAGUAGACGCCGUAAGGACGUCCUAGCUGGUGGUCCUGCGUGAUGACUUACAUGUGCAAGCAAGUAAAUUGCGAAACCCCGGCUAGCCUUAAUGAUUAAAAACAAACGAGCACAGAAAAAGUGUAAAGUAAAGAACGAAAAAAUUUGCAUAAUUCAUUAUUAAGUUUGCAUAUUCGUGCUUUGUACAGGCAUAUUAAAAGCAUUAUGACGAUUGGUACUAUAUUUCAGCUUAUCCUUGCCUUAUUAUGCUGGAGUUAGUCCUAGUGGGCCAAAAAGUGGUGAGUGUGCGCCGAACCCACUGAGCGAACUUUGUGUAGUUCUCACCCCACUAUUCUCCACAGAGCCGGGACCUGAGCAGAGCGCGCGACGACGAUGGUAAAGGUAAUCGCGCCCUAGUCAGAGGCCACCAAUGUUGGGUUUCAUUUUGUAGUAAAGUACCUGAUGUCAUCUUGUAUUUGAUGAUUAAUGAAACUGUAAGAAAAAUUAAAGUUAUUUUGAGGUAAAUGUGAUGUAAGAAAGAAAUGAUGAAAUGAUAUAAUGAAAGUAAGAAUUCGAUAAAUUACUAGAUGAAUGCAAUGUAUAUGAUCUAAAAUGAAUCAUAAUACUUGUGAAUGUUUAGUUUCCUUUCUUUCACUAAUGGCUAUUGCUUACCCUCGUGUAAGCCGUUUGUGUAUGUUUCCGCUAGUGCUUUUCUCUAUUGAUGAAAAUGUGCAUGUGAUGAGCCUUGGGCGGAUAGGGGAAACUCUGUCCGUUCGGCGUCUGUUUGACGUGCUCGGGUCGGGCCAAAUUGGCAUCGGUCCCGGGGCGUGACAUCAACUAUCAUGCUACUAUGUUCAAUAAGUUAUGUCAUUCAUGUAUUCACCCAAUCACUUGGCUAACCCGAAGGUUUGCCCACGACUUACAGUGCAAUCCCAUAGGUAAGGAGACCCUCCCGCUUGCAAACCCGAGACCGUCUGCUGGACAGGUACGUUAGUCCAUCACGUGAUGACUCCGGAGCUCACUACUUGGGUGGAGCGACCACGCCAAGCGAAAACAGACUAUGCGAGUAUGAUCCAAUCAUCGCCAACUGAGGAUACCCUAUCGACUAGGGCUAGUCAAUAACAUGGGAACUCGACUAUACCUAAUGUUCAUGUUUAAAUGUUCUAACUACACUAAGUCCACAUGCAACAUAUCACAAGUUGGGAAAUUCAUCUAUCCCUAAUGUUCAAGUUCAAGUGUUUUGUCUACACUAUACUCAUCAUGCCACUCGUCAUCUAUGUCAUCAACAUUAUUUAAAUGCCACUCGUUAUGUCUCUACAUAAACACUAAGUUCAUCACUUGUUUCGGCAAUAUAGGACCCCAAUGUCAUAACCCAAAUCCUUACAUAUCCACUACAUCAUGUGUCCAUCUCACACAACAACUAGAGAAUCAUAGAAGGAAUGGAAAUGCAAUCAUAAUCGUCUUAUAAUGCAUAACAACAAGAGAGAUGCAUGGUCGACAAUGUAACUAAGAUAUAGAAAGAAGUUUAACUGCUUCGGGAUGACACCCCCUACCUCUAGGUGAUGCCACGAUGCUAGGAAUUCGGUUUCGUAAUUUUUGGACGUCGCCUCAGCCCUCCAGGCGGAAACGAAUCCAAAACGGUACUUUUCCUCGAUAUCUUCGCGUAGACUCGAUGGAUCGCCGAAACGACUUCACAAGCGCGUUAGAAUACCUAGCAAUUAGGUUUAUAUGGGUUCAAUUUAGAUCAAACCCAACUAUUUGCAAAAAAACCCUUUUUGAACCUUAAUACUCAACUAUAGCAAAAAUCACCAUUUCAUCCCAUGAUUCAAGCAAUAAUCAUCUAUUUAGCAUCCUAGGGUUCCAUUAAAACCAUUCUUAGAGUAUAAGAACUUAACCCUAAGGAUCUACCAUUAGAGCUCCAAGUAGCUUACCUCUCCAAGCUACCAAACCAAGGAAGAAGAUGAAGAAGAUAAAUAAGAUCCACUUCCUAGCUUCCUUCUCCACCGAUCUCCCCUCCAAAUCCACCUUGUGGGAGAGCUUCUAGAGAGAGAAAGGGAGAAAAAUGAGAGAGAGGAGAGAGUUCACUGCUGGAAUGAGAGAGGAGGGCUCUGGAGUCUUUUAUAAGCUGCUACAAUUGCAAUAAAACCCUCAACUUCAUUUUAUUUGCAGUAGACCAACCUGCUGUUUCACAGCACUGCGUACCAGUACGCGGGCGGCUGUCACCGGUACGCCCCUGUUCAUCUUCCCAAACCCGAGAGCUGAUUGUUCUCGAGUGGCUGCGGGGUACCGGUACUCUUUGAAUUAGUCACCGGUUAACUAGCCUGACAGAGGCAAACCCGAGAGCUGCUACUCUUAGGUGCCAGCCUGGUACCGGUAGUCUUCCAAUGCUUCACCGGUUAACAAUGCUCCAGAAUGCAGUUUUGUAUUGUUUCGACUCUAAUUCGCGCCGAGCAAUGCUAAAACCUUUUUAACUCACUUGGAGUUCAACCUUAAUCCUUCCAACACUAUUGGAAUGCCACAUGGACCAUGUCCAAGCAUCCUUCUUGCCACGCUUUGGUCAUUUUGAACAAAAGUGGUUUAAUACGACGAGGAUUCACUUUCUUACAAUACCUCCAAAGAUGGUUUUGAAAAUGAUUUAAAAGAAUGCAUAAAUGGUAGGUUAACUGUGCAAGAAUUUGGGAAUGCAUGGGCAACAAUGCUUGAUAAGUGUCAAUUACAUGAAAAUAACCACCUUCGAUUGUUAUGGAAUAUUCGACAUCAAUGGAUUCUUGCAUAUUUUCGAGAUAUUUUUUUUUGCGAAUAUGUCCACUUCAUAGCGUAGCGAAAGUAUGAAUACUGUGGCAAAACUAUGGUUAGAUUCGCAUACAUCAAUAUUCAAGUUCGUCACUCAGUUCGAAAAAAUGUCAAAUAAUCAAUAUGAGAGAGAGGACAUUGAGGAUUUCAUGACAAAGGAUAGUGAGCCUAUAUUAUAUUCAGAUGAUCUAAUUGAGAAAAAUACACGCUCUCUAUAUACAAGGACGAUUUUUUCAGAAUUCAAAGUUCAACUAAGGACUACAACAGGUUACAAUUGGAAAAAGAUAAGUUGUACAAGAUUAGUUCGAUUUCACAGCCUUCUACUUCAGGACAACGAAUGUGCACAUAUAUUGUGAUAGUUGUAAGGUCUGAGGAUAUAGUAUCUUGUACUUGUAAGAUGUUUGAAUUCUAUGGUCUCCUAUGUACUCAUGCUCUUAAAGUGAUGCAUUAUAUUGAAGUCUAUAGCAUUCCUCCUAGAUAUAUUCUUAAAAGGUGGAUUAAGAAUGCCAAAAAAAGAAAAUCCACUAAUUGUCCAAAAAUGAGUGAUGGGUCCUUAUUUUGUAGGUCUCGUAGAUUUGACUUGCUUGCAUUAGAGGCACAAAAAUUUAUCUUUGAAGGAUCUAAAAGUCUUAAGGCAUAUGAAAAUGCAUGUCGGAUAAUUAGAGAAUGAGUUGAUGUGCUAACAUCAAUUAAUCAGACAAUAGAAAUUGAGGAAGGAACAAAUGAGGAGCCUUCAAAUGAUCUUUGUAGAACCCUAAUUUCACAAUCAAGUCAAAUUAACCAAUGCACAAUUAAAGAUCCCCUGCACUCGCAAUGUGAAGGGCGAAGAAGACCACAAAGAAUUAAGUCAUCAGUCGAAAAGAAGACAAGAAUGUCAAGAACUUGCAAGUAGUGUAGUAAAAAAGGCCACAAUAUUAGAACAUGCAAAGAGGUAAGAAAAUUUUUUGUUUUAGUUUCAUUCCUACCUUUCAUAUAUUUAGCAUUAUGUUCCUCACUAAUACAUUUUCUGCUGCACUAUUGUUUCUUGCAUACUAAUUCUUGUCUUCUAAAUAGCUGCUAGUUUUAGGUCGAAGCACUCAAUCAGCAACAUACUCGAAAAAAGUAUGCAAUUUUUGUAUCAAAUUUUUCAUUGCAAUAUGUAAGCUAGAACAAGAAACACCAAUAUCACAUUUGACAUGAUCUAAAAGGAUAGCAUAGCAACAAUAUCUCUUUUGCAAACAUAACAGUACUAUAUCAUCAGCAAUCAAUAUUACAUAUUGAAAUAACAACUAUCAUUUUUUUCAUACAAAUUUUUUAUUUUCUAGGAGAACAGAAUUUUAACACACAGAAUUGCUAAAAUAAAUACAAUAAAUAUUUUUCUUUCAGUAUCGAUUCUUUCCGUCAAUGCUGUUGUUCUUGUAGAAACUUCUGCAACUUUAGUCUUCAAGUUCUCUAUUUGCUCGGACAAGAUAGAGAGGUUGUAAUUUAAGGUUUGAAGUAUCUUCUCAUUUGAUUAUUUUUGGGAAGAUGCUGCUGAUUCAAACGCGGAACUUUCCUUCAACUGUGAGAGAUUUGAACUUUCUCCUUCCAGAUGUUCUUUGAAUAUCAUGAUUUCUUAUUGCACCACAUGAAAAACUCACAGUAAUUUUCAUUAUCCUUUCCAUAUUUACGACAACCAUAAAAUUGUCUUCCUUUGUUUAUAGGUUGUUGUAAAGAUCUAAUUAUGGCUAUCUCAUUACAUUUGCACAAAACNACUAAAUUUAAAUCAGACCGAUGAACAUACGACUUACCAAUUAAGAAAGUGGAACCGAUAACGAACAGGAGCACGUUCGGUAACACAUACGAAGGCGAAUACGUUUAAACAUGAGAUAACUAUGAUCACAACUCGGAACCAGCCUGUCCCCUUCGAGACAGGCAAGCCGCAGAUAAACUGCGAGAGCUUGGCCGGUUUUUCCUAGCCCGAGCCCCGCACUGUGAACCGGAACGGGCGGAACCUACCAAACGGUGCUCGCUUCAGGCCGAACAGUAUGAGGUCGUCGAAGAGGCGAACUCGCUAUCGCCUCGAGUGUAGAACCUGCAGAGAGCGGUGCUCGAGGAACAAUCGGGUGCCAACCUCUGGCAGCUCCUUCUUCUUGUUGGCUAGGAGGAGCCGGUACGACCACUACCGUUCGUAGUCAAACCUCAUGAGGAACUGUAUGAGGAACUCCCUAGGACAUACGAACUCGGCAGCUUCAACGGAGGCGCGGUUCAUAAGCUGCACGAGCCCCAUCUUGACACGGAAGUCAAGCGCGUGCUUCAGGAGGGUUCAUAGGUCAAACGUAACCGGGAAGAGCCGGAGACGUCUUGCGGCUGCGGUGGUGUCGUAGCGUAGCAGCCACUCCAUGUACCUUCGCCAGACCUGGAACAGGAGGAGCAGGAGCUAGGCGUCGCGGAACUCCAUCGCGAAGUAUACGGUUUCCUUCAACAGAUAGAGGAAGAGCAGCGCGCUUGGGAACUUCGUAACCCCAAGUCCCUGCGCUUGGAAACCCCACAUGAGGAAGACGCAAAGUGGCGGAGCUCGGUGGCGGAAGAGUUCCUAUCAGUGAGAGCAGAACUCCAGGAGCUGGAGCAGCUGAGCUCACUGAUCGAGGAGCUAGUUCAAGAAGACGAGGGGCAGUGCUGCCCACUACAACGGAACCUCGAAGAGCUCGAGCGGAGCUUUCCAGCGGUACCGUCACCGCUGCGAGAGGAGGUAUGACGCUUGUAGUAGUAACUUCCGCAAUUUCCAUAGCCGGUAGAGCCAUAUGGAAAGAGGGUGGAAGCUAUCUUACAGGAGGUUGUCACGUUCCGCCAGGAGCUGGCUGCGCGUUAGGAAGCACUAAGCGCACAGGAACGGGAACGGGGCGAACCUCCCAACGAACCUCCGUAGUGGGGGUUGCAGCGGUCGUUGCCGGAGACUACUGAUGUACCGAGGAAGAGCUUGGCCGAGACUAUGGUUGACAGUGCCUGAAUUGCUUAAACGAGCGUUUUCGGGCACGCCGCGAGCGGAAGGAUGCGCUUCUCUCGUUCGGACGGAGAGACGAACAGUUCCAUCCUGGAGUGAGCGGGAUCUGAUUCAUGUUCUCUCUCUAUUUUCUUUCGAGAAGAUAAUGAAAUUUGAACUCUUAUGUUUACUCCUAAGACUUUACUCUCCCCCACCUCCGGUGUGAUAAAUAUCCGGUGAGUGGCGGGUAUUUCGGUUACUUUUCCACGGUUCACCGUGUUAUGAUGAUCGGUUUUCCCCUCCGGUUAUUCAUGCGAUGCCAGAGGGUUCUCAGUAUUAUUUAUACGUAUCUUUGAGAUUCUCAGUAUGUAAAUAAUGAUGGAUCUUUGAGAUUCAUGUAAUUACCCGAUGGAUCUUUGGGGUUCCCUGAGUACUGAGGAGCCGUAGGCCAUACAUGCAUCAUUUCUCUUUUUUUUUUUUUACAUCUCAUUUCUCCUAAAAUAUAACUUUUGACAUUUAAAAUAAAUAUCCCUUACAUCAUUCAUUAAAGCAAGUUCAUGAUACUAAAAUCAUCAAAUAUAAAAGAUGAUAGUAAAAGGUAUGCAACUACAAAAUGAUAACCAUCUCAGGCGGUCUCUACCUAGGGCGUAAUGCCCUUGCCGCCAUCGUCUACCGGCUCGCUGGGUCCCGGCUCUGUGAAAUAGGGGUGGGAGAACUACAACAAAGUUUUCAGUGGGUUCGGCACCGAUCUCGCCGACUUUCCCACUAGGUCUAAAUUAGGCAUAAUAGAAGAAAGAAUAGAUAAUAACCAACUAACAGAUGCAGUUAAUAUGCCUGAACGAUAAGUAAUACUAUGAUCGAUAGAAUGCUCAUGAUGAAUGCAAGAUUAACUUUUCAUUACCCAAUCUCAUGGCUAGCCCGUAGGUUUCGCACUCACAAACUCACCAACCCAAAUCCCUAUUGUCGGGGAGAUAACCGCUACAACCCGACGGGACCGCCCUCUGGGGAGAUAACUGCUACGAUCCAGUGAUGACAACUCCGGAGCACAUCGCCCGAGGCGGAGCUACCGCCCUCGAGCAAGGACUAUUAGGUGAGUACGAUCAAUCCUUAACUUUAAGGAUUUUAAGUUCAAUCCAUUCCUUGACUUCAAGGAGAACCAUGUACAUAUGACCCUUAAUUCUAAGUUGUUUAUGUCAUAAUGUCACUACUUGUUCUUGUUCUUUGUCAAUGAUGCCACACUUGUUUUCUAAGUCCUCUAGUCUCAUCAAUGUCACUUGCUAAAUCUAUGUCAACAUGUCACAUUUGUUUACUAACCCUUCUAGGUUCUUAUCCCUUGUCGUGCAUAUAUAGGGUUACCAAUUCUCAUUCAUUUACUACUAUUUCUCAAGCAUUAGAACUCAUAUCAUGUAAGGAAAAUUUACAAUUAACCCUACUAUGCAACAUGUUCAAUAUAAAUACAUAUACUCAAAUAUGACGCUUUAGAUAUAAAGGGAUUUUCGAUGUCCUUGGAAUGCACCACCCACCUUAGAUGGUCACAAGGAUGCUACGGUGAAUUUUUUGGAAUUUUUGAAGCCCUAGUCCGCGUGCUGCGGCUAUCUGUACGGAAAAUGACGUUUUUGUUAAUAACUUUGCGUACACUCGUCGGAUUGUCGAACCGAGUGUUCCAACGCGUUUAAAAUAUCCUAAAUUAGGUUUCUACAUGAUCAAAAUAGAUCAAAACCCAACUUGGGCAAAACCCCUCUUUGGGAUGCCCUAAUAUGUUAUUUUUUCAUUUCUCCGAGAUUGAUCUCAUUCCUAAGCAAAAGAUAGCUUAGAUUCACAUGGGAAGCUCUCUAAUAAGGUUUCUAAGCUUUUAGAACCAUCCCUAGGGCAUCUACUUUGAGCCCUAGUGAUCCACCAUGAAAGGGGUCUAAAAAAUCCAUAUUUUUUAUGGAGUCAUGGUCUUUAGAGGAUUUCCUCACUUGUAGAGAGAUCAAAACCCAAAAAUCUAAGGUCUAAACCCAAAUCCUAAACUCAUUUUUGCAUAAGGACUCACCUUUGCCUAAGCUCCACCAAAGCCUACUUGUUGGAGAGCUUCUAGGACCACCAAAGCCACCAAAAUCCACUUCUCCAAGCUCUUCUCCACCUUCUCCAAGCUCUAGGGCUUGCUUUCUAGAGAGAGAAAGAGAGGAAAAUGAGAGAGAGGAUGAAAUGGGUGUUGGCUGUGAGGGGAAGGGGUAUUGGGCUAUUAACAUGUUGUAACAUUUGCCAAAAAACCCUCCCAAUCUUUAUAUUUUGCAGCAGACCUCGUUUUGCUGUCGGGCCCAAAGUGUACCGGUACACUUUUUCGUGUCACCGGUUACACGACCACGCAGAGGCAAACCCGAGAGCAAAUCUGUCGGUUUCGCCCAAAGUGUACCGGUACACUUUUUCGUGUCACCAGUUUCAGCAUGUGUAACCGGUGACAGGUCGCUUGCUGUACCGGUACACAUUGCUCCAGACCUGAUUUUGGUUCCGUUUCAAUUCUAUUUUGCGCCGAUCGAUGCCAAAACCCUUCUAAUACUUCUAGAACUCAUUUUUAACCCUCCCAACAGUGUUGGUAGGUUAAUUGGAACUCGCCCAAUUAAUCCAUUCGCGCACUUUAGUCAGUUUGCCUAAAGUUCGUCAUUUUCUAUCUAGGUUUCAAUACGUUACACCAAGGGUGGGGGAGACCGCCGCGAGCAGCGUGAUCACAAGGGCGAAGAGCGAAAAGGCCCUCCGCAGAAGAAGAAGAUCUCUUGCUAUGUCUGCGGGGGUGAUCACUGGGUGAGAGAUUGCCCAAAGAAGAAGACCGUCAAUGCCAUCCAAGCCGAGGAGAGCGAGGAACAAGCGGAGACAAGGAUGGGCGCGCUAAGCCUCGUCAACGCAGUUCGCGGUCAGCCAAGCGGCGACAAGCUCCGCAGGAGAGAGCUCAUGUUCGUCAAUGUGAUCCUCAACGGGAGGACCACGCGGGCGAUGAUCGACACCGGUGCGACGCACAAUUUUGUCGCGGAGGUGGAGGCCAAGCGGUUGGGCCUCACACUCGAGAAGGAUGCGAGCCGUAUCAAGGCGGUCAACUCUGAGCCGCGGCCAAUCGCGGGAGUUGCCAAGGACGUGGAGAUAGCCAUCGGCCCGUGGAGGGGUAAGGCCAAUCUCACUGUCGGGCCGCUCGACGAGUUUGGAGUCAUCCUCGGGAUGGAUUUUCUUGUUUCGUCGAAGGCGACGCCUAUGCCACACUUGUGGGUGCUAAGCUUCAUGGACGAGUCAGCACCAUGCAUGGUUCCGAUGUGUCGAGGCGAGCCGACGAAGGGCCAAACUCUGACAGCCCUGCAACUUUACGAGGAGGCAAAGUGCAGGAAGGCUAAGGGCCUCGAGGAGGAGGGACUGAGCAGCGGCGAGACUGUCGAGUCUCAGGUGGUGCUGAAGCGGCCAGCACCCAAUCAAGGUACAAGUUAUUCUGUCAAGAAGGAGUCCGAAGAGUCCAAGGGGCGUUCUGUGGCUUAGCGGAGUGCGCGUGCGUGUCGCGGAGGACAUGCACCUUUGGCGGAUUCUUCGCACAGCAGGCUUGCUGGUGCACAUGCUCAGAAGGGCAAGGCGCUAGGAGCGGGUACGGGGACAGAUGCGAACUACAGGAGCAAGGCACGGGGCCGAUCGCGCGCGAAAGCACGACGAACCGCGCGAAAGGCUAUGCGGAUCAAGAGCGACUCGGCGCGCGACAAGGGCGUCUGCGCAUUUGGUGGGGGAGAAUGUCACGGACAAAAUAUUUUUCGCUGACUUUUCCUCGACAGUGGGCCAUUCUCCGAAGGAGCAUUCUGACGGAGGUUUUACUCGGGCAUUCUAGAAGUUUCUACAUGGAUCUCGAGGCUGAUUGGCACGGAUGCCGAGGAGUCAUGAGUCCCUUGGGGUUUCUAGGUAGCCCAUUAAUGUACUUAGAGUUUCUAGGUAGUAAUAAAUGUAUUACUCUUAGAGUUUCUAUGCAUAUUUAUUAUGACUCUUGGGAGACCGUAGCGUACUUAUUGGCCUCCCCUUUUGGCUAGUAGUAUUGUGCCACUUGGCACCUUUUCAUUGGCUUUAUGGGCGGCGAGUGGCCUAUAAAUAGUGUGGCCUCCACCCCCUCUCAUUUCAAAAUCCUCAUUUGUAUUCUCAAGUUUAAAGUAAUAGAAGAGCUUUCUUCUUAUCUCUCUCUUGUACUUAGUCUAGGGCGAGUGAGGUCCUACCUUGACAAGCAGAGAGAUAGGCUUGCUCUCUUCCCGUAGGAAGGCGAGCGCCGCACGGGCUUUUGCGAGCAAAUUCGUUAAGUCCGUGACAUCAGCAAUCUACACAAAAUGGUAAAACAAGUUUAAAAAAAGUCUAACAAGUAAUCAAAUUAACAGAUCUAAAAAAAAUAAGACUAACUUAAAAUGAUCAAAUCAACAGAUCUAAAUAAAUGAAGAAUACCAACUGAAAUUGAUCCAAUGCACAGAUCUAAAAAAAAAAAAAAAAAAAANNNNNNNNNAAAAAAAGAGACAAACAAGUAAUCAAAUUUUCAAUAACUAAUAACUUUUAGUUAUUUAAAAAAAAACUAAAUAUUGCUAGUAAUUUUCAUAUUUUCAAUUUUUUUAAUGAGAGAGGUUAGGAAUGAUCUCGUUCACAGUUUCAUACAAUUUAUCUAAGAGUUUCAAAUUUCUACAUUUUUUCAUAUUAUUGACAUGGUCAAUAUUAUCUUUAUAUAUGUUUACAACUGUCAAUAACCAAAUAAUUUUUCAAAUUUCACAUUUUCAUUUUGUUUUGAGAGAGGUAAACAAGAAAAUGAAAAUUGCAAUUCCAAAAAAAGAGUAAUAACGAAAAAAAAUAAAAAAAACAACAUGUGAAAGAUUGUGGAUUUAUGUAUUUAGGUUGCAAUAACAAAAAAAAAAAAAAAAUCAAGAAACAAAUUUCCAAACAAACAACAUAUGAAAAAUAGUAAAUCUAUUUUUUAUGUUGCAAUAACCAAAAAAAAAGUCAAAAAAAAAAAAUCUGAGAAGAAAAGGUCAUACCUCGUUUGAUAGAAAGGGGCGACGCGGAGAGCGGGGGGCGGCGUGGGAGGUGGGUUGUUUGCACGCACAGAGGGCGGUGGGGCGACGCAGAGAACGGGGGGGCGGCUUGGGAGGUGGGUUGUUUGCGCGCACAGAGAAGGAGGAGGUCUGGACUAGGGAGUGUAGAGAGAGAACGGGUGAGAUAAGGAGAGGUGGGAAGACAUGAAGAGAGAGAGAGAGAGAGAGAGAGAGAGAGAGAGAGAGAGAGAGGAGAGGGCAACAAAUGGGACUUAACGGGCUAUCUUUCCGUUAACCUCCCAUAAAAGCCCCGCACAGAUCUCAAAGCGAUCUAGUGGUUAAAAACUCACUAGCAUGAGUCAGACUGUGCUAUCAAUAGCAUAGCAGCCUGACUAUAUAUAUAUAUAUAUAUAUAUAUAUAUAUAUAUAUAUAUAUAUAUUUCACUACAGAAUCUGUAUUUUCAUAUAUGCUCCUCAACUGCUAAACGUCUCCAACAUAUACCCGCUGACAAAAAUGCGCCUCCUGUUCAAAAGCUUUUUCUAACAGGUUUUAACUACCCUCCAUGAAUUCAAUUANUAUAUAUAUAUAUAUAUAUAUAUAUAUAUAUAUAUAUAUAUAGAUAUUGAUUUUAAUUAUGAUAAUUUACUGUAAUAAUACCUUCCUGCCGCAUCUCGCGGGCCCUUAACUAGUAUGUUAUGAAUCCUUGGUAGGGAGGCCCUAAAGUUAAUUAAGUUCUCUGUUGGUGAUCUCUGGUUGAUGGGUAGUUGAGAUUGCAGCUGAGGAUUGAGGAGAAAAGCUUUAGAACUAUCUUAAUUGGUGUUUCAUUCCAUCCAUACAGUAAUUAAGGUAAGAGUGAUGAAUUUAAAGGUUGAAUAAAAAUAUUUUAAGAUAAAUUACACCGCCGUUGAUGGUAUAAAUAGUUUGAGUUAUGUAAUAUGUUGUACAGGGGUGAGAUUGGCUGCGAUUGAUCUGUUGGCGUAGAGCUGUGAGGGUUGAGAAGAUGAGAUUAGAGUAUUUCAAUGGAGUAUUGAUUAGGUCGGUAUAUGUUGCUGAAAUUAGCAAGCUAAUUAAUACGUCUAUAUUGCAUGUUCCAGUUGAGAUUCUUUGGUCCUAGUAGGCAUAUUAAACUUGGUAUUGUAUUUUUACUAACAAGAAAGUAUGCUAGAGAGCUUUUAUUUGGUUUGGGAUUAUGUUGAGCUAGCAAAGUAUACUGGUGACAUUGAAAGCUUAAAAUUAGUGUCUUGCAUAUUCUAGUUUCUUUGAGACAUACACUAUGCUAUGACAUGUAGGAGAGUAAUCUGUGAUUAGUGGUUUCAGAUAUACUAUAAUGCCGAAGGGCAAAUGAAAAUAAAAUAUGUGAAAGUGCUAAGGCGCAAGUGAAAAGAGAAAAUAUAAAAGUGGUCUUUGUGAUAGUAGCAUGUAAAAAGGAAAGCUCUAGUGAUCUUGUUAAUCGUUGCAUAUGACUAUAGCUUGCAAGAGCUAAAUUGAGCUCAACAAUGCAUAUAGUACUUUUAUUUGUGUGGGACAGCGCCCCAGUGAGAUGGCUUUCGAAGUUGGUAGCUUCUGAGAUAGUUCAUGGUUCCGAUUGAGUGCUGAAAUGGAGGGAAUCCUUGACCUUGGAGGUGUGAAAUGUUGUCCAAGAAGCGAGGUGUACGCUUGAUCGAACUUAUGAGUCAGUCUGUAGGUGAUAUGGCAUUUCUAUUAGUUACUAUACUUGAUGCAUGAUGAGACAUAUUUACAGUUCCCAGUAUUUCUCUUAUAGAGACAUACUAGCAGGUGUACUAGUAGGUAUUUGUUUACUAUUCAAUACAGCAUGUGGUUGCUAAAGUCUUCCAUUCCAGGUAAGCUAGCUAGGAAUGCAAUGUCGCCAUGUCUAUCCUUCUUAGAAAGUAGAUAAACCUCUCUCCUGUCUAUUUAUAAAUCUAUCUCGAGUAGACCUAAUGGUGUAGGUCGUCGUUAUUGUCGAUUGCACUAAAAACUUUUUUUCAGUAAUUUUCACACCCUAUUAUUGUUGGUUUUAUUUUAGAGCUCUCAAUACCAGAGUGAUCGAGAUAAGGGGAUCGCGAGGUAGAUAGCAUCUCCUACCCUGAAUGAGUGCUAAUGUAGGACCCUUCCCUGAUUUUAUAGCUAGCUAUAGAUAUUGGGCCCAAAGGGAUAGAUAAUGUUGUAUAAAUUAUCGUUAGGUUGUGUUAUAGCGACAUGUACAGUUGUAACUAUAAUUGUAUAGCUUUGUCUAAACUCUGAUACAUCUUUUAUAUAUAUAUGCUCUAUAUAUACUGUCGUGCCCGGGUUGCAGCCGAACUCGAGCUCGCUAAUAGACCCACUGCAUACAUAGGAACCAGUAUGUACAUGAAGCGGGAGAAGUACCUAUAUGCAAAACAAGAGCUAUAACAAGCAAGUACCAGAGCUGAAAAAAGAAAUGCUAACAACUACUAAGUAAUCCAUUAUAUAUAGAUAAGUCCAAAAUAGUACAUCUGAUAAAUCCAUCAAUUACAAAACGAUCUCCCCAAAGCUAAAAGUAAAAAAAUUAACAUCCAUAUGUACAAUAAACUACUCAAAAAUUGCCACUAAAAAGGUCCCCUCUAACUUGCCCGUACAAGUAGGCAGGGAUCUAACUUGCAACUCUCUUACCUUGAUUAGUAGCAGCUAUAGAGGCAGAAGACUAUAAGAAAAUAUAGCAACAAAGGGAGUGAGAACUACUAAAAUAAGUAGUCCUCAGUGGGUACCGUCACUGAUGCUGAUGGCCUACCCAUUAAGUCUAUAAAAGGAAAAGUAAAGAACUGUGUAAGUGGAAGAGACAAAAGCAGUAAAAGUUGAAAAGAAUCUACAACUACAAUGCUUCUAUACUACUAGUGCUCAAAAUGAAACUACCAGAUAAAACGAAUGCCUUAACUAUCUAUCGGGUACUCACAAUCCCAAACCCAAUCCAAAUGACCGCCUACAAGGUCCGGUCAAGCUUAUGCCAUCGUACCACCACGACACCACCCUCGAGGUAGCCGCCCUAAGUAGGACGCCCAAAAGGGUUGCUAUAACACUACUACGUAAAAAGCCUUACUCUGGAGUGGCAUUCAGGGGAGCUACCCAGCCGAGCAAAAAGCAGUCUCUAUCGAGCUCAAAUCUGGCACAUACAAACUAUAGUCGAUGCGAAUGAUCAAUCAUAUCAUAAAACUAUACUCUACGUGUAAUAUAUGGCAUCCUGGAGUUGCGAUGUCAACUUUGAUCCAGGGGAUCAAAGUGAGGAUUGAGCUAGUUGGACGUCUUCCCCGAGUGAUUUUGGACGCGUGAGAAUGAAUUCCGAAGAUAAAUAAGUGUUUCGGCGCAAAUUGGGCGCGAAACGAAAUUUAAAAGGAAUUUGCGGAUUUCCGACGCUAACUUUGAUUAAAAGAAUUAAAGUGAGCAAAAUAAUAUACAAUGGUGUGAGAUACCAUUUGAUUGGACUUAAGGGUGUAAAAUAUAAGUUUGGAAUGGCUCGUGUUGAAAUCGGAGCGAAACCGGAAGAUUUAGAAUUUUCUGUAAAGGACGGGACUGAGAAAUUAGCAGAAAAUGCACAGUGUCAGAAAAUUAUGAAACUUUGCGGAGAUGUCAGAAAUGGUUUUAUGAGGCUAGCUUUGAAGUUUCAUAUUAUUCUGACACCUGUAGAGAGAGAAAUAGCAUCCGAAAGUUAUCUGAUGAAGAUUACAGUUCGGGACAGUUCGCAGUGACCAAACGGGGUCGAAACUGAAAUGUUAAAAUUUCAGUGGACUUGUUAAGUAAAAACGAGCAUUCCUAUCAAAUUUGAGCUCAAUCGGACUUUUAGAAGAGCCUGCAAAAGGUAUCUAAUCCGUGCGACUAAACGAAAUUAAGUCGAGGGGCAAUUUGGUAAUUACACAUGGCUUAGUGGAUUUCCACUAAACCUGCCAGCAGGGGAGCCCUCAGCCAUCCUUAUCCCCCUCUGGUUCCAUACGUAGAGAGAGAGAAAGAGAAAAGAGAGAGGGAAGGUGAAGAGAAGAAGAAGAAGUAGAAAAAAAAAAAGAAGAAAGGUGAGUUUUUGGUUAUCUCUCUCUCCCUGUUAUCUCUCCCUCUCACCAUCUCCCUGCUGCUACUGGUAGUAGCAGCAGCAGUAGCUAGUUGCAGCAGCAAGCAGCAGCUUUGCUGCUUAGCAGCAGCAGCGGCAGGAGCAGCAGCAGCUGCAGCAGCAUGCGCAGCAGCAGCAGCUGCAGCAGCAGCAGUAGGGCAGUAGCAGCUCAGCAGGAGCAGCAGCAAUCAGCAGCAGCAACUUCAGCAGCAGUAGCUGCUGUUAGCAGCAGCAGCAGCCAGUCAACAGCAGCAGCAGCAGCUCAGCUGCAGGGCUGCAGAGAAAGAAAAGAAAACAAGAAAGAAAGAAAAGAAAGAAAAGAAAGGAAAGAAAAGAAAAGAAAGCAAGAAAGAAAGAAAAGAAAGAAAGAAGGAAAGAAAAAGAAGUGAAAGAGAGAUGCAAAAUAAGUUAGGAUUUCUAUAAAAACGGGGUUUAAAUGAAAACUGACCCCGGCAAUGCACUUUUGCAAAAUAAGAGUCCUGAUGCGAAAUUGACCGCGUGUAAACCAAAUUGAGGGUAAAAGAAACGCGUUGGCGAAGUCGGUUCGGCAAUCCGACGAACCUACGCAAAGAUAUCGCCAAAAGAAGGUUUUCGGCUAUAGUUGCCGCUUUAUAUAGCAUUGAAAUGCUAACUUGUAAAUUAUGAGUAAUGACUCUAGUUUAAUCUUUUCUAAUCCUUUAUAAGUGAAAAGUAAACAUGCCCAAGAGUCUAAAUUGACUUUCCGACAGGUCGACGACACGGUAAUUACGGUAGAGACCGCUCUAGUCCUAUUUGCACGAAGUCGCGAGAGAUAGUCGUCGACGCUUUCCGAGACGUGGAUUCUAGUUGAUUGACACCACUACAGGUGGGUGGUGCUAUCCGAACUCUUUGAAUCACCUUUUAUGUCUAUAAUUCUUCGUUGAGCAUAUUUAUAUUUGUAGUCAUGCAUUAUAGGGUGUUUGGCAUUGAGCGAGUGGAAAUGUGAAUUCCUAUCAACAAUAAGAAUUUGUGAACAUUAGAAUGUGGACAUAGAACCCUAUGAAUAUAUGAAACUGUAAAGGACCAAGACAAUAGUAAACUUGGUGACAUCAUGACUAGAGAUUUGGUUAGCAUCGAGAAAUGCAAUUAUGAAACUAAUAUAAAGAACUAGUUAGCGUUAAAUUGUGACAUUGUUGUCAGUUGAAUCCUCUAAAGGGGGAUCAGAUCUUACUCACAUAGUCUGUUUUCUUAGCUUGGUGGUGGUCGCUCCCCCCAGGCAGUGAGCUCCGGAGUAGUCACUUGUUGGGCUAACGUACUUGCCCCAGGACUAACGUACUUGUCCGACAGACGGUCCCAUCGGGAGGCAGCUUAGGGCCCGUGAGGGAUUUCGUUGGUGAGUUAUUGUUAACCAAGGGGUUAACCACUGAAUUGGAUAAAUUUAUGGGCUAACGUACUUGCCCCAGGACUAACGUACUUGUCCAGCUGUUAACCAGAGGGUUAACCAAAAGAUUGGGUAAAGUUAAUGAGAAGCAUGCAUGCAUAUUUACAGUUUUCAUAUCUGUUACUUCUUUCAGCUUUGUACAGGCAUUGUAAUAGUUACAUGUUAUAGUUGGUACUAUCUGCUUACUUUUCUUGCCUACAUAUGCCUGAGUAGACCUAGUGGGUGAGUCGGCGAAGUCGGCAGCCGAACCCACUGGGAACUUUCUUGUAGUUCUCACACCACUAACCAUACAGGUUCCAGUGCGAGUUUCGAGGCCGAGGAUCGUGGCAAGGGCCCUGCAGCUUAGCUAGCUGACACCAGAGUUUAGCAAUUACCAUUUUGAGUUCAUGUAUCAUCCAUUUUGAUGUACAGAGACAUGUAAAUGAAUGUAUAAAAAGCAUGUAUAUAACUAAAUGUUUCAGUUACAAGUUCAGUUGUGUAAAAUUUUAAGUUACAGUGAAUUUCAUUGUACAGUUAGUUUACUAUCACUUGUGUUUGUUGCUUGCUUUCGUGCAAGCCAUGUAUAUUGAAAUAUGAUACUGGGAAUUAUUUAUUUCUUUAAACAUGUACUCGUUGUUGUUGAGCCUUGGGCGAACAGAGGAGGUGCUGUUCGUUCGGCGUCUGUGCGCGGGCCCGGAUCGACCAAAUUGGCGAUAACGGGACGUGACACUACGUGUCCCAGGCACAAUCCAAUGCAAAACGCGAAGAUCCAGGACCACCGUCAACCCAUACGGUACACUACUAUGUGACUUAAGCAACCGACUGCUGUAAAAAUCCACUCGGCCCCUCAGCACGAGCCUAAAGUUAUCCUACACUAAUCUAAAGGCUCACAACACUCUAACCAAGGUGAAAAAUAGGUAAUAAAAGCAACAUAGUGUAGGUUUUCUACAUUAUUGAGGUCUAAUUUUAGUAGUUAAAAUAUACCACAUAGAGGUUUAACAUGCUCAAGGUUCAUAUUUCAGCAUUACCCAUGCUAAUCCAAAGAUUCCAAUUAAGCUAGAAUAUCCAACUUUGAUAAAUUAACAGCAUGCAUGCAUAAUUUUGCUAGACAUAAUGGGAAUUCCGUCGAAUUCGAUAAAUUAAACCCACCUCAGGAGCUAAUCCAAUAGCGGCAGUGACUUGACCACCAAAUAAACCUUCCUCAUCCUCCAACUAGUAGGAAAAAUGAGAGCGAAGGUCUCACAAUCCAACCGGAAAAGAACCAAUCUAGCCCAAAAGCAAAAAUGGCAUCAAUGCUAGAAUUUGUGGCUAAAAACCUGAAAUUAGACUCAAUGUGGAUCAUCCCACUUUACUACUAGCUGAGAACAACUCCAACACGCCAAACCAUACUAGAAAAGCUGAUCAAAAUCAGCUUAAACUCCUAGCUGCCACUUUCGAAUCUAAAAAAGGAGGCCCAAAUAAGCAAUUCUAGAAUUUGAGUAUUAACUCACAAUAUACAUCAAUUGAGGCCAAGAAUUAACCUAUAGAUCCAAUAAGAAUAGAUCUAAAUCUACUAGAAGUGGAGGGAAAGCCAACUAAGAUCCCAUAAUAUCACAGCUAGAAAGAUUUGGAUCUAGAAAUCCAUGGAAAACUCAAAAACGCUAAAAAUCAACUUCAAAGUCCAUAUUUCAACAAUUAGAGACCAAUUUCUCCACAAUCUCUCCUUCAACUUUCUAAUUGAAUCAAGUCACCACAGUAAUUAGAAGCAUCAAAAUCCCACAAAACACCAAACUACUACUGGUGGUGCUAAAGUUCCUAGUGUACUACCCAACCUGCUGGGAGAAAUAGAGGAAUUUGACGGAUUUGUAGGAUCAAAUGUUGUAGAAUCGGAGUUCACAAGGAAGGGGCAGGGACAAGAGGUUGCUUGGAUCCACAUGUUUUCGUAGAAGCAUUGGUGAGGUAUAAUGAGCCCAAAGAAAAUUAGAACUAAAUCUAUCACUGCAAAAGAUCUAGGAUUUAGGCACCCUAAACCGACUUCUAGGGGCCUGAAUCUACCAAAAUUUAGUCUGGAUCCCAAACCGGGCCCUCCACAAAAGGGUCCAAAAUCUUAUCUUGUGCUCUAUCCAAAACCGCCUCUUGCCACGUGUCAAUAAUGGUCAAUAAUCACGAAGUCGACCACCAAGCAAAUUCAGGGUCAACAACUGGGCACCUAAAUGAGGGCCUGACAUUAUUCCAGUAGCAAAUGCAAUCCAGCACAGGAAUUCUAGGUACCCGAUUCCACCUUCUGGUCGCCCGAAAUUGGCUAGAACUUUAAUUUGGCUAGUUUCAGUGCUCUGAGUCCUUUUUCACGUCCCUUUUGAGCCAAAAUGACUCUGACUAGUCCCAAUACUCUGCAGAUGUGUCAACCAGCUGGUGCUACUGUAGUCAUUUUGACAGUUAACCCUCAAGGACACUACAUAUAUUAUUUAUUUAGGUCUGUUAGCUUAUAUGCAGGUUUUCGCUGUAAUUUCGAGCUUGGCAUAUUUAGUUGGUAUCAGAGUCUAAUGUGUUAAGUGGACUUAGUAAAUUGUAAGCUGUUGGCAAACCUUAAGCGUGUAAGACUUUGAGUGACAUGACUUGUAAUGAAAGUUGGUAAAUUGGGUCAUGUGAUAUCUUCAAAGGUGUAAUGAAGAGUAGCCGAAGGUGUUGGAUCUUUCCUUUCUUGAUAAUAUAUGUUGGCUCAAACAAUAUAGUGAAAUAGGUGGAAAAAGGGGAUGUCCUUCCAAACUUUCAUUUGAUUGGGAUGAGUUGUGUUUUAUCAAGUAAUUAAUGUUGUUCUGUUCCAAGUGGCUGAGAUGUCAUAGCAUGAAUAACCACUGACGAGAGCAACACCGACACAGCCUGAGCAGCAAGGCCCAGCUAGGUCUAGUGGAGUGCAGGAGCUUCACGAUUGGAUGACAAGAUUGGUAGGGUCAAUAAGGAGGCAGGUCGAGGCUUCCCAGCGCUAGGAAGAAAAAAAUUAAAGGAUAGCAUGAUUUGCUGUCAUGGUACGCUAUUGCGACAUAGGAAGUUCAUGAGUAGCGUUUGCCUCCAUCUAUUGCUAAAAUAAGAGCACCAGUAGUGGCUACACUAGUUGCCACAUGCCCUCCACCGCUGGACAUUUUAGCAGCUGCUACUCUUAUGACUACUGCAUUAGUGGCCGAUCAUGGUAUAUCAAAGGCAGAACAGGAGCGAGUCCGAGUUAGUUUGGCAAACUUUCAAUAGUUUGGCCUACCAAUGUUCAAUGAGUGAAAUGUAGAUCCCUAGGUAGUAAAGGCUCGGAGUGGUGCUAUAGACAAAAUAUUUGAGGAAUUGUACAUUGUUGAGCAGGACAGAGACCACCUAACAGUGCAUUGUUUAGAGGGUGAUGUACAUUGCUGGACGAGAGUUUGAUCAAGCCAACCUGAGUGUCCCUCUCCUAUGAUGUGGGAGUUUUGGAAAAUGCUAUUUGGUGCACAUUUUUCAGAAAAUGUGAGGAAGAAAUUAGAAGAUGAUUUAAGAAGUUGUAACACGGGGAUUACAAGGGGAGUAUGAGAGGGAAUUCACUCGCAUUCCUAACUGCAUUCCUUUUGCAAUGCGAGAUGAAUGGCACAAGACAUAUUGUUUUAAACAGUGGUUGCAUUAUGAGAUUUAUCAGUUUGUGCAACGUUAACAUCUGCAAACCUUAGAUGAGAUUAUUAGGAUGGCAUCUAGGUAUAGAGGCACAAUAAUAAUGCGUGAAGAAAGUGAGCUCUAGAGGAAGAAAGAAAUAAGACUCAGCUACUUGAGAGUUUAAGGGGAAAGUCCAAGUUCUAGGGGGCCUUCGAAGUAUCCACUACCUUGUUAUUAGGCGUCACAACCCUACCCACCAAGCUUGGAGGAGCAUUAACCAUAUUGAAGCCGCAGAAGCAGCCAAUAACGAAACCUUGGGCUGCACUCCAACAGCCCUCGCAAUAGCCGCGGUUGAAGCCGCUCUAAACACCGUCUCCGCAGAGAUGAUCGCAGUAGCACUCGUCUCUAUGUAGGGAGUGUGGCCUGGGCAUCGGCAGCUAAGACAAUUGCCUAGGCCCAAAAAAUAAUAUCACUUGGCCCUCCAAAUCCCUACCUGAUAGGAGUGGCUACACCCGGUGAACGUCACCUUGCUACUAGAUGUCUGUACAUGUACACCGCCACCACUCCCGACUAAGACACAAGACUGUGCAAAAACUGUAACAUGCAUGGAAUAAUAACCAUGCACCUCGAGAAUAUUAAAGCUCGACCAUAACACCGGAACUCAAUCGCAACAACCCACACUCACGUGCUAUUAUCUUAGGUCUUCCUAUGGGUUAUCAUAACCAGUGGUUCAGUUGCAUUUCAAGAAAAAUCAUGAGUGAAGUCGUGAUUGUACCAUUCGCUCUAAUACUACCUUAAUCUAUCAUUCCCUCGGGUCUAUUUUUUAAAACAAAUUCGAAAUCGAGCUAUCUUUAUAAAUCAGAGUAAACAGAAAACUGCCUAUUUUUUUAAAAAAAACCUUGACCCCUAAGGGUGCAGCAGACUCGCCAUAAAUACAAGAGAUUUUCAAAACAAACGGACAGAGUCUUCUCUGUAUUUGCACGGCAUGGCACAUGUACAAUUGUCAACCACGACCCCCAUCCACACAAACAACAAUCAUGAGUGACACAAAUUAUCAUUUCACUUCAUACAGCUAGCUGUCCUUAGUCACAACCAUUCCACAUCAAUUUCACAUUCAUUCCUACUAGUUGAAAGCGCAUCCCACACGAAGGCUUCACUUUAAAAUUCUAAUAUUUUGAAAAUACACGAAAAGCCGAUGAACCACUUUGAAAACCGUUUCCCACAUGGAAACCUUAUUUAAAGUAAAUAAGAUACCAUGAAGGGUGGAAAUCCAUCAUUCGAAAUCAAACUUUAAAACCCCAAGUAACCAAAACCUCAAGUUUUCAAAAUCUAUAAAUAUCCAAAACCUCACAUGGAUAAACAACAACUGAACCACGACCGUCUAUCUACUACUUGUGAAACGGGGUGGAAUCUGGACUAUCAAUAAUGUCUAUCUAGUGAUAUGCAUAAAAUAUAAGAAGAAUCCAAAGAUAAUACCGUAAGUCGGGACCUAUAUCACAAGACCACUAUCUACGUCCAUACAUAUUAUCCCGACCCUCACCGCCCGAGCUACUUGAGAAAAGUGGGGGGUGAGAAUAUGUAAACAAGUCUACCCCUUCCAGUGGGUACCGCAAGCCGACAAAAAUAAGCUGUACCCACCGAUAGAUUGUGCGGUGAACAGCAGUAGUAACAAGUAAAUCGAGUAUAAUAAUAAUGAAUAAUAUCCAUAGAUAAUCACCAAAGAAGCUGCUACUAUAAAGUGAGAUAAUAAAGCAAUGACCAACUAUAAUCAAUAAUCAAACUAGUGCAAUAGCAAUGAUAACUGAACUGGAUACAACCGUAAUAAUGGUAUAAAUAACCAUUACUGCAAAGAAAGAUAGAGAAAUGACUAUGCGUCAACUGCAAUUGAUAGCACAAGUAUACCCAAUCUAUACCGCCAUGUUGGUCUAAGGACCUCAGGAAAACCACAACUGCUCUGUUUGUCAUAUAACCCUGGCAAAUGGCCGCUGGGCUCACGGGUUGGUAACCGACCACUUUUUCGAAAAAGAACACACUCUUGUGGGGAAUCAGACAGCUGGUGUUCAUGAAAUGCUGUCGAACUGUGGCGAUCAAUGCAAAUAUGAUCAAUAGCCAAUCGUCGGCGAAUGGCCGACAAUCACCGCCCCUCGGGGCACACCGACCAACAGGUCAUCGAAGCUAUACAGAAACAUAGGUACUGACCACUCACGUCAACUAGGAUGGACAAGCUCAAUAUCAUCUCAAGUAUGUAAGUACCGACCAUUCAGGUCAACAAGAAAGUACGAGGUCAACAACGAUAAAAGUAUAGAGGAACCGACUACUCUGGUCAACUGGAAAGUGUGAGAUCAAUGACACUAGAGAUCAAUAACACUAUAAGUACACAGGCACGGACCACUCAGGUCAACAGGAAUAUAAAUGCAAGUGUCACUACCGCUCUACUUCUAUGUCAAGGCAAACAGGAGAGUGUACAAAGUAAAGCAAGGGUCGAAAUCAUGUGGUGAAGAUCUCAAGCACUGAAUAUGUAUAUGUGUAAGCAGUAAAAGAUAAAGAUAAAGGGAACAUCAUCGAGCGUGCACCACUGAAUCGACUUCGGAUCGAAGUACCCACCUGUGUUCGUCGCGGCGACUAGCUCCUGUGGGACGAAGGACGUUGACCGGACCUACGAUAGGUCCACCGAGUCAGGAUCUAAUCCACAUGACUCAAAACACAAUGCUCACAGACCCAAAACCACAUGCGAAAUCAAUUUCCCAAAACUGAUUCCCAAAACUCGUCGAGAAUCCCGAAAAUGUGUAAGGAUGCCCUCGGGACCCAUGAAACAUUCUGAAACACACUGACUCACACUGUGAGUCAACCGCUAUCUCGAAACACACCUAUUUAGGUGCUAGGACAACAAUCAUAAGUCUCUAAGUCAACUCGAUCGUCGUCGAUCGACCGCUCACCACCGGGCUUCCGUAAGUGUCCACUUUGGCACCGAAAGCCUCUACCACUCUUCGGUCGCCUCCGAACACAUGAGGGGACCACGGCAGCCAGCCAAUGAGGCUAGGUGAUGAUUUCUAGGGCAACCACGAAGCCGAAAACUCACUGCGAUGUGAAACCGCAUUCUGCAGGUGAUUUCGCCGAAAAGGCAUCGAAACCCUACUUUCAAUCUCACAGAGGCUUUAAAACUUGGAAGACAAGUCCAGAAGGUCACAAAUAAUGAUUACACACUGCUCGAGGUAGCCCACAAAGCCCUAAUUACAAAAAGGCCCCUAAGGAACCAACUAAUUGCAACUUUAUAUAGAAAAAAAGCAAUAUUUAGGGCCAUUAUCGAAAACCACACACUUUCGGACGUAGCAAGGGCACCGGCUGAUUGGUCUCGAUGUGCUGGACACCGUGCUCACAGUCCAGAGCGCACAUGACAGCCAAGAAGUGCUGUAGAUCCUUGUCAAGUUCAGUGCACAAAGGGCUCCGGUUGCAGGGAAGCCGAAACUCAACGGUGGAGCGUUGACGAUAGCAACAGAGGUGGGCACGAUGUUCAGCAAGUCGAGGGGUUCGCCUUGUUUGCCUUUGAAACGAUCAGGGAGCGUUGGACUACCGGGAACAGAGAGGGGCCUGCCAUUGAGCCCUAGAUUAAGGGGCUGCGGGCUCUCCUACCGGUUGCCGGGGCCUUUCGGCACGCGCUACGGCUAGGGUCGACGGCGGACGGGGAGGGAAGCACGAUGCUUCCCUCGGCCGGUGGCAACGGUGAUUGGAGAAGCUCGGCGAGCACAGAUCCCAGCCAGGCUAGGGAGAGCCGGGGUAGGUCGGGUCGUUGGCGCCGAACCUCCAGAGGCCAAGGAAGUCGAUGGCGGGGAUCGGCGACGGUGGCGGCGACAACCAUGGAUUUGAGGAGAUGAGCUCCUCUGCCCCAGGUCGCCGAGGAGGAGAUGCUGUGGCUGCGGCGGCGCCGACGGAGCACGAGGACACCGGGGGAGUUGGCCGGAGCACGACGGCACUGGGGAAGGUCAGGAAAGGGUGGUUUGAGCCCUCCUCUAUGCUCAGGCUCCAAGAACAAGGAGAGAAUGAGAGAGAGGAGAGAAAAAUGAGAGAGAAAGAGAGAGAGAGAGAGAGAGAGAGAAAGAGAGAGUUGGAGAAGGGUUCGCGGUCACCGGCAGCGGUCUUCGGUAGGGUGGCAGCGCGUGGUGCAGUGGUGGGGAGGUAAAAUGGGUGGCUGUGGUGGAGGUGGAGCAAAGAGGCUGGGGUUUAGAGAAGGGAAGGAGAAGAACCCUAAAUGGGUUUAAGUUCUCAUGUGGCAUUUUUACACAGAAGCCCUCAAAAACUCCAAAUACCCAGCCAAGCCCCUCACAGCACACGUAAAAUGCAGAAUGGCAACCCCAUGUGCGAUUUCGCACAAUUCGAAGCAUAAAAUAUUGGGGAUUUUCAAGAAUUCAAAUUUUGCUAAUUUGACCCCAUCUUAGUUAUCGUGUAAUUGCGGUAAAUCCAUCCAUCAGAUUUACGAACAGACUGUGCCAGCACAUUCAGCACUUUCGGGCUUCAAGAUCAUGCUUUCGCUUCACGUGAUUUGGUCACGGAUUCGCGAAGAUCCGAUCCAUCCCUUUUUCUCUCUCACACACACGCAUAUAUAUAUAUAUAUAUAUAUAUAUAUAUAUAUAUAGUCCGGCUACUAUUCUCUUGUGAGUACGAUCGCCAUCGUACUCAUAUGUUGUUUUCGAUGAUAAAGCUUCCGAAUCGACAAUCCAUACCGUUAAACAUUAUCUAGAGCAUUUAAAACUUCUAGAAAUUAAAUUUCAUAAUUUUUCAACAUCAUUUACCUUACGUCAAAAGCUCACAAAAUUGACAAUUUUUAACGGCCGAUAUGGGAUACUUGCAAGUUUAACGGUAUAAAAGAAUUGAAAUAUGUUGAAUUUUUGAUAGAAAAUUCUAUUCACUAUCUAGAUAAAGAUCAAUAACUCCGAUCUUAAAUUGAAGGAUCCGAUCAUCCAUUUUUAGGACGUCGUUCGAUUUUGACCGUUCAUUUUAUGCCCGUUUGAUGGACUUUAUUAUGAUUUCAAAAAAUUACGAAAUUUUUUUUUGUGAAGUUUCAAAUGCUCUAGAUCAUAUUUAACGGAGUGGAUCGUCGAUUUGGAAGCCCCAUCAUCGAAAACAAUACGAAGGGCCCAAUACUCAUAAGAGUAUAGUACCCCUACUAUAAGUAUAGUUAAUAUAUAAUAUCUAUAUAUAAUAAUAUAUAUUAAUAUAUAUAUUAUAUAUAUAAUAUAUAUAUAUAUAGUUUUAUGAGUUGAGCUAGAAUGCUAUCGAGUCAACAAAUCGGGCCUUUCGUGUGGCCAACAAUUUUGUUUUCCAAUGAUGGCAGACCUGUCAAAUCGACGAUCCGCACCGUUGAAUAUGAUCUAUACCACUUAAAGUGUCUAGAAACCAAAUUUCAUAUUUUUUUGAUAUUGUUUUCUUAUCCAUCGAGUGGAUACAAAAAUGAACGGCUGACAAGAAAUAUCUUUUAAUAAGUGAUGAUAAAAAUUUUAUAAUCAAGAUCGAGAGUAUAGAUGUUGUUCUAAAUAGUUUAAAGAGUUUUCUAACUAAAUUCAAUUGAUUUGGAUAUCUUUACACCAUUAAACGCGAAAAUGGCUCAUAUCGACCGUUAAAAUUAUAAAUUGUGAAACUCUUUGAUCAUUAGGUUAAUAAUGUCGAAAAAAUUUGAAAUUUGGUUUCUAGAUACUUCAAAUGGUAUAGAUCAUGUUCAACAGUGCCGAUCAUCGAUUUGGAGGCUCCAUCAUCGAAAACAAUUGGGUGGCAACGGAACCUGUUUGCUACUGAUAGUAUUCUAGCUCAACUCGUUAUAUAUAUAUAUAUAUAUAGAGUCCGACUAUGGUGCUUGUAAAAGUACCAAGCACUUAGUGCUUGUGAAUUUUUUACCGUUAGAUCUACGCCUUUGAUCAUUUUCACCCAUUAGAUUAUACUAUUCAACCAACCACCUACUCAACCCAAGGGGGCCCACAUCAUCCUAAUCACACAUUUAUUAAUCGAAGGGCUAAAAACUUACAAGCACAAAUGACUUGGUACUUUUAAAAGCAUAGGAGCUCAAUUAUAUAUAUAUAUAUAUAUAUAUAUAUAAGAGAGAGAGAGAGAGAGAGAGAGAGAAGAGAGAGAGAGAGAGAGAGAGAGAGAGCCCGGCUACUAUACUAUUAUGAGUACGAUCGCCCUUGUACUUAUAAGUUGUUUUCGAUGAUAGAGCUUCCGAAUCAACGAUCCACACCGUUAAACGUUAUCUAGAGCAUUUGAAACAUCUAGAAAUCAAAUUUCAUAAUUUUUCGACAUCAUUUACCUUACGAUCAAAAGCUCACAAAAUUAACAAUUUUUAACGGCCGGUAUGGAAUGCUUGCUAGUUUAACGGUGCAAAAGAAUCCGAAUAGGUUGAAUUUUUGAUAGAAAAUUCUAUUCACUACCUAGAUAAAGAUCAAUAACUCCGAUCUUAAAUUGAAGGAUCCGAUCAUCCAUUUUUAAGACAUCGUUCGAUUUCGACUGUUCAUUUUAUGCCCGCUUGAUGGACUUUAUUAUGAUUUCAAAAAAUUACGAAAUUUUUUUUUGUGAAGUUUCAAAUGCUCUAGAUCAUAUUUAACGGAGUGGAUCGUCGAUUCGGAAGCUCCAUCAUCGAAAACAACUUAUGAGUACGANAAUUUUGACCGUUCAUUUUAUACCCGCUUGAUGGACUUUAUUAUGAUUUCGAAAAAUUACGAAAUUUACUUUAAAGAAGUAACAUAUAAGUCUGGAAUGACUCGUGCUGAAUUCGGAAUAAAAACAGGAGAUUUAAAAUUUAAAGUUUCAUGUCAUUCUGACACCCGAAAAGUAAAAAAUAAUAUCCGACUGUUAUCUGCUAGAGAUUACAGUUUGGUAGAGCUUUUGGUGACAAAAAAUGGUUCAAACUGGAAAGUUAAGAUAUUUUAUUUCUUAUUAAGUAAAACCGAGCCUGUUUGUCAAAUUUGAGAGAAAACAGACAUUUAGAAGGGCUCCGGCGAAAAGUAUCAGAUUUCGAGCUGCUAAACUGAAAUUGUGCUAGUUAAUGUGAAUAGUGUGUUGUUGAGGGGGCUACUUGUAAAAAGGGUAUUCUUCCCUUUUUUUCUUCUUCUUCACAGCCAGCACACUCCACAAUGUACACCCACACGUUUGGAGAGGGAGAGAGAGAAACCCUCCCUUUUCUCUCUCUAAAUAUCUCUCUCAUCUUUCUAAAUCUCUCUCUUAAAUUCGCGGCGUUGGCAGAGAGCGAGCUUGUGAACACGUUGGAAGCGACGGAUCGAGUCUUCGUGCGCCCGGUUGAGCGGCGUGCUUUCGAUUCGGCGUUUGCAAUUUCGGUAAGUGUUUAGGAUUUGGUUUAAUCAUUAAUGCUUAGUAUUCUAGUAAUCUCUAAAGUGUUUCUAGCAUGUCGCUCCAUUUAAUUUUGGAAUAUUUGGAGGUUAAUUUCAUGCUAGGGCUUUAAAUGAGGGUUUGGAAAUUAGAGGGUUUUGAUCUAAUUAAACCCUAUUGUUCUCUAAUUGAAGUUUAGAGAAUGAUCCUUGAAGACUCUAGGUUGAGGAUCGGCGAGUGUUCGGUUGCCGAUUGCGAGUUCGGGCCGAACCGGAUAGCCCGUGCCAUGCGAGGCCGAUUGAAAGUGUCGACAAGUAAUCGGAGAGCGUUGCGAGGUGGGUUGUGCUCAUCGAAGAUAUUAGCUUGCUUCCACGUCGAAGUAGAAUGCAGUUUUAUUGUUGAUGCAUAUAAUGGUAGUUAAUUGCAAAACAUGUAAAUGCACGAGAUGAAUGCUAAGUUGAACUACCAUUAGAUGAUAAUGAUAACGUAUGAGUUUCUUGUUGAUGCAUAUAUUACAUAAUGGUAGUUAGUUGCUAGACGAAGGCAUGAGAUGCUAUGUCAUGGACUGCCAUUAGAUGAUAAAUAUAUAUGCUAGUUGAUAAAUGCAUGUUGACAUGUUAAGAGAAUAUGUUAGAGGAUACACAUGCAUGUUGAUAUAUGUGGAUAUUAUAUAGUGUAGCAUUGUGAGCUUGACACAUGGACUUAGGAUGCAUGAGAAUUAGGUCUUGUGACAUGGAGUCCUAUAGUGCAAAGAACAUGAAAACUAUAAUACUCGAUGUGGACAAGUAGAAUGUCAAGUAGAUCGAGUGGCAUUUGGACUAGUAUAGUAGAGACACUAUGGCAUGAACAUAGGGAUAGCUGAUUUCCUGAGUCGUGGAUAUGUGCUACGUGAAACUAGUGUAGUAGAGACACUUGUUACAUUAUUGUUGGGAUUAGUGGAUUUCCCGUGUUGUUGUUAACCCUAGUAGAUAGAGUAUCCUCGAUGAGAGGAUUGGAUCAUACUCACAUAGUCUGUUUUUGCUUGGCGUGGUCGCUCCACCCAAGCAGUGGUCUCUGGAGUACUUCACGAUAGGGGCAGACGUAGUUGUCCCGCAGACGGUCUUGUUGUGCUAGUGCAUAUUCUCCUCACCUAUGAGAUUUUCAAAGUGAGUCGAGGCGUAACCUUCGGGCUAGCUAAGCAAAUCGGGUGACAAGCAUGUGAGCUAUAGUUGAAUCCCAGUAGAGUAGAUUCGGAGUCCCAGUUGAGUGGAUUUAAGGCCGAGGUGAAUGUGAGAUGUUGUCACGCCCCGAGCCCGAUCCUUUUGGCCGGUUCGAGAGCGUCGAACAGACGCCGAACGGACAGAGCCUCCCCUGUCCGCCCAAGGCUCAACAACUAGUAUCAAUAGAGUAUAAAGUUUGCAUAAGCGGAAGCAUACACAAUGGCUUGCACGAGGGCAAGCAAUAGCCAAUAGUGAAAGAAUCUACUACAUCAUCAUACAAAUAUUUGAUUAGAUUUAAAUCACAUACAUGCAUUCAACUUUAAUACAACUUUGCAUCAUUUAUUUUAUACAUCACAAGUUCUCCAAAAUAUGAUCCUUUUUUCAUUUAGCAUAAAUAAAGUCUUCUACAUCAUUCCUUUAACAUGAUCACAAUACUAACAUCAUCAAAUACAAAAGAUGAUAAUAAGGGGUAUGCAACUAUGAAAAUAAAACAUCUCGGACGGUCUCUACCUAGGGCGCGAUGCCCUUACCGCGAUCGUCUGCCGGCUCGCUCGGCCCCGGCUCUGUGGAAAUAGGGGUGUGAGAACUACAACAAAGUUCCCAGUGGGUUCGGCAACCAACCACGCCGACUAUCCCACUAGGUCUAAUCAGGCAUAAUAGAAUAGAAGAAAGAAAGUAACCAACUAACAAAUGCAACUAAUAUACCUGAACAAUAUAAAAUGCGAUGCUCGAUAUAAUGCUCAUGAUGAAUGCAGGAUCACAAUUUCUUUACCCAAUCUCUUGACUAACCCGUAGGUUUAGCCCUCAACAAACUCACCAACCCAAAAUCCUAUUAACCGGGGAGAUACCCGCUACAACCCGAUAGGACCGUUCUCUGGGGAGAUACCCACUACAACCCAGUGAUGUCGACUCCGGAGCACAUCGCCCGAGGGGGAGCUACCACCCUCGAGUAAGGACUAAAGGUGAGUACGAUCAAUCCUACAUUGAGGAUUCCAAGUUCAAUCCAUUCCUUAACUGUAAGGAAGACCAUACUCAAAUGACCCUUAACUUUAAGGUUGAAAUAUCAUAAUAUCUCAAUCAUUAUUUUCUUUGCAUUCUUUACCAUCACUUGUGUCAUAUACACUACUAUAUUCUUGGACUCAUGCCACACUUGUUUUCUAAGUGUUAUGUUCUCGUUCUCAUGCCAAAUGCCAUACUUGUUUUCUAAGUGUUCUAGACUCAUCAAUGUCACUCACUAGAUCUAUGUCCAUGUGUCACUUUUGUUCACUAACCCUUCUAGAUUCUUGUCACUUGUCAUGCAUAAAUAGGGUUUAUAAUUCUCACAUUCUUACAAGUAUUUCAUACAAAAUUAAAUUCACAAUCAUGCCAUAAAAGCUCACAAUCAACCCUACUAUGCAAUAUGCUCAAUAUAUACAUAUAUGUUCAAACAUGAGACUUUAGACAUAAAGGGAUUUCCAAGGUUCUUGGAAUGCACUACCCACCUCGAGUGGUCGUGUGGGUGUAGAAUAUGACGACUCCCGAACUUUACGAAAGCCGAUCCCGCGUCCUAUAACCAAAAUAGUGCCACAUUAGGCCUUUUGUACAUGAACCAUACUUAAACAUUUUCAUAAUGUCGAACGGAGUUGUCCAACGCGUCAAGAACACCUCCAAUUAGAGGCUGUUUGGUUGGAUGUAGUUGCAGAAACAGUGUAGUUGGAAAUACAUGCAGUUGCAAAUGCUGCAGUUGUAACUACACCUAGUCUGUUUAGUUUUACGCAGUUGCAACUGCUGCAGUUACAUUUCUUCUGUUUGGUAAUAUGCAGUUGAUAGUUGUAUUUGUGAAUUUUGUCACCUUUUCAGAUCGAGUAGUGAGAUUACCUUCACUAAACAUAAAAUAAUUGUAUAAGUUUAUUAAUCAUUUAAAUUUACUAUUUAUAAAUAAAUAAGUAGAUAUAUAUAAUAUUCUUCAACUUAUUAAUCGACACAUUUAAAAUUUUUAAUUUAUUUAAUUUUAAUAUGUAAAUCAAACUUUAAAAUUUAAACGAUUCUCUCAUUUUUUUUUUCAAAUUUAAUAAUUAUAAUUAAUUAAAACUUAUUAAAUUAACAUACACGAUCACAUUCUAUAAAUUUUUUUUAAAAAAAAUAUAUUUAUAUUUUAAAUAAAAAAAAUUUAAAAAUUUUGAUUUUUUUGCACAAAACUUGUAUUGUCUAAAAAAUUUUAUUAGUAUGAGUUUAUUUACAAGUAUUUUUAUUUACCUAUAUACAUAUAUUAUUUAUUUAUUUAGCUAUUUAUUUAUUUAUUUAUUAUUGUUAAUUUGUGGGUGAUCCUAUCCCUCACCAACUGCUGCAGUUGGAACUACGGCCAAUUUGGAUGUAGUUCCAACUGCAGCAUUUGGACCUUCUUGUGUAGUUGGAACUGCAGCAGUUGAACUCAACUACACUAAACCAAACAAAGGAAUUGAGGUUGCACGUAUUUGCAACUGCACUGCAGUUGCAAAUGCGUGCAACCAAACAGCCCCUUAGGUUUCUACGAGGUCAAUUCGCCCUUGAAAAAUCCUAGGGCAAAAGUCCUAAAUUUGAGCCCUAACAAUGUCAUCUAGGGCUUCCACCUAGAUCGAUCUUGUUGCUAAGCAAAGGAUAUCUUAGAAUCACUUGGGAAGCUCUCUAAUAAAGUUUCUAAGCUCUUGGAACCAACCCUAGGGCAUCUAACUCAACCCCCAAGGAUUCACCAUGAGAGCACCUUGAGCUCUCAUGGGUGUCAUGUUGUUCUUGGCUCAAAGAGCUUCUAAGACCUCUAAGGAGCACAAAGCUCCAAUUCCUUAGGUCAAAACCCAAACCCUAGAGGAAACCUUACAAGAACUUACCUCUAGUCCAAGUCCUAGCAAGCUCCUUCUUGUUGCAGAGCUUCGAGAGCCACCAAAUCCACCAAAAAUCCUCCUCCAAGCCUUUCCUUCUACUUCUCCAAGCUCUAGGCUUAGCUCUCUAGAGAGAGAAAAGAGAGAAAGUGAGAGGGAGAGGUGUGUGUGUGUUUGCUGUGAAAAGGGGAGAGGAUUGGGCCAUAUAAGGUGUUGUGAUAAAUGCAUUUAAGCCCUCGCACUUUAUCCCCAGUACACUGCCCAGACUGGGCAUUUUUCGCAGUCAGGGACCGGUCUCCCCGACAUGGGACCGGUCCCCGAGAGCUUCUCCAGCGGACUGCGCAGGCUGUGCGCGAUGCAACCGGUCUCCCUCAAUGGGACCGGUCUCUGGGGACCGGUCUCUCCUCGCAAGGACUGGUUCCCGAGAGCUGAUUUUUCAGGACUUAGCCGAUUUCUCAGCCAUCUCGCUGCCUACGCGUUCGGGGACCGGUCUCUCCCACCAGGGACCGGUCCCCGAGAGCACAAAACCUGCAGUUUGCAAAUUUUGAUUUCCAAAAGCUCUCGAAGAUCCCCAGUAAUGCAUUUUGCAUUAUUUGAUGCCUUCGGCCUCUCCGAAGUGUACCAACCUCGCACUUUGGCCAAUUUGACCAAGGUUCGAAUUUAAUUACCGAGGUUUCGGUAUGUUACAGACGUCCUUCACCUCGAACCUGGCUUUAUGCGGUAUUCCGUGGAUGAUUAACUCAAGACCGAGUCGAGUGGAUAGUUUGAUAAAGGUAAAUAAAACCUUAUGAGUAGAAUUGUGAAUGACAUGAAUCUAAGAUAGAGGAAACCUCAGAUGUCAAUUGGAUGAGCUAUGAAUAGUAGGAUUGAAAGUAGAAUUAGCCGAUCUACUUAGCUUAUUGCCUGUUGAGUUGCAUAAUUGCAUGAUUUGCAUUGUUACAUGUUGUUGAGAGGCAUAACAUGUAUUUUAGUACUUGCAUAUAUAAAGCUGUGGAUGUUUGUUCGACUAACAUGUUGCAGUGCCUCCUUCGGACCUAGUGGGUCGAGCUUUUCCCUUGGGUGGCCGUACCCACUGGAAACUAUGGACAAUAGUUCUUACCCGACGUGGUUUUGGGGUUUUAGGUUCGCACGCGUGCGGCGCGGCGGCGCAAGGAAAUGGCGUAGCUUCGUAGAUAGCGCCCUACCACAAAGACCAGAGAUAGCAUUACCCCGAGUCGGCCUAGCUAGGGUUUAUAGAAAAGAAGAAUACAAUAUUGUAAUAAUAUUGAUUGUAUUUGGAGGAAAAGAAAAUAAAAAUGUAAUAUGUAAAAAGCAUGUGAUGUGAAUGCUUAUAAUAGCUUAGUUGUUUUAUGUUUUUGAUACUUCCUUAUGCAAUCCUUGCUUGAAAUUUGUUCCUGGUUGGAACCUCGCGAAUUGUAUUGAUUGCGACGCCUAGGACGUAUUGGAAAAACUCUGUCCCUUCGGCAGUCUGUUAACGGGCCCAAAUCCGACCAAAUCGGUGGGUCUCGGGGCGUGACACUCUAGAUCAUAUUUAACGGAGUGGAUCAUCGAAGACAACUUAUGAGUACGAAAGGCCCAAUACUCGUAAUAGUAUAGUAGCUCUACGCUAUAUAUAUAUAAAGCAUAAAGUAGUUCGUGCUUCCGAUUUUUUAGCCCUUAGAUCAACCCCAUUGAUCAUUUCGAACCAUUGGAUUAAUAUUAUUAACCAAUAGGGACUACUCAAACCCUAGGGGGACCACUUAACCCUAAAGGGACCGCUAUCAUCCCAACCGUUGAAUCUUUGAUCUAAGGGCUAAAAAAUCGGAAGCACCAACUACUUUAUGCUUCCGAUAACAUAGUAGCUCUACGCUAUAUAUAUAUAUAUAUAUAUAUAUAUAUAGAGAGAGAGAGAGAGAGAGAGAGAGAGAGAGAGAGAGAGUUGAGCUAGAAUACUCUCAAAAGCAUCAAGGGGGUGGUGCUUUUGAAUUUUUAACCAUUGGAUGGAGAGAUGUAGGGUUGAGAUGAUGGCGUUAGGUGGUGGUAGGUGGUGGUAGGUGGAAUAGUGUUUGAUCUAAGGGGUAUUAGUAAUUAAGGAGUAGAUCCAAGGGCUAGAAACUUAGAAGCACCAAGGGAUUGGUGCUUUUAAAAGUAUUCUAGCUCAAUUCUAUAUAUAUAUAUAUAUAUAUAUAUAUAUAUAUAUANUCACUAAAUUUCUUAAAUUUCAUGUUUUACUACCUAAACAAGGUAUUGAUCAAGUAACCAAAUACGGAGCACAAAAUCAUUAAAUUUUAUAGGAUAUAUACCACCAAAGUCUUUCAAAAGGUCUGAGAAUUUCCUCCGAUUCAUUUCAAAUUGUGAACGUAUCUUAUGAUUCAUUUUUUUUGCACUAUUCUUAAAUUGUUCUUUUCUAAGAUUUUAAAGCUGCAAGUUUUGUUGCUGCUUUAGUUACAGCUUGUGUUGCUAUUUCUAAUGCAAUUACUGUUGCUUCAGCUGCAGAAUGUACUGUUACUACUACUGCUACGCAUGCAGUUUAUGCCGCUCCUUUAGAUGCAGCUUAUGCUGCUACUUUAGCUACUGAAGAGUUAGACAGCAACACCCCAAUCCAUUCUAACCAAAUUGAUCCUGACUCAAUCCCUUUGAUUGUGUAUAUAUUCCUUGGCUUCCACAUGGAUAGCUACGAAAAAAAAGAAAAAAAUAAUCCCAAAAUUGAGGGGUUGUUUGUAAAAAUGAAAUCAUAUGCAACAAAAAAAAAAAUAUAUAGAUUAAUAAAUGUCAUUGUUAUGAAUUACUUAAUGGCUAUAAAAUGGUUCCCUGCAAAUGAUCAAGGCAUCCAAAUACUGCCUACCUGCUAUUGAUCUAUUGCUUCAUUUUCUAAAGAGGCAGAAGUCCCACAGUUUAUAAGAAGCCAUUUUAUCAUAAUCACAAAAAAGAAAAAAAAAAAUUGAACAUGGCAUCUCAGCAAGUAUAUAGAAAGAAGUAAAGAUUGCUUUAACUAGGAAGCAGAAAAAAGAGAUUGAGUUGUUUCACUUUUGCUUCAACGAUCGAUUCAGCUUCGUCCCCGUUGGUUGCGGCCAAAACCUAAACUCUGCCCCUAUCACAGGCUAUGAACGACACCCCCCACCUCUCAAUCCCUCUCUUUGCUAUCGAAUUUCUUGCUAAAAAUUAAUUAUAUAUUAUAUGGCGUAAUAAUUAUAUAGAUUGACGAAACAUUUGUCAAUAUAUUUAAAUCUUUUUUCUUAGGGUUAAUUGCAUACAGCUCCAUAUAAAAAUAUUGAAUAGCAAAUAUAUCCCUAUAAAGUUCAAGUUUUCAUUUUUAUCCUUGCAAAAGUCCAGGAUAUUCAUAUUUACCCCUCUGGUUUGUUAUAGUUAGUGCAUUGUUUAUUUUUUAAUAGCAGAUAAGUGAAAUGAUAUUUUUACCCUUACAAAUAUAUCCCUCCAAAAGCGCCAACUGUUAAAAUUAUGCAAAAAUAUCCUCCCAAAAAAGUAUUCUACCUAAUAAUAUAAGGGGGGUAAAAAGAUCAAUUUAACUCAUUCACUAAUAAGGAUUAAGUAUUUUACUUAUGGUUAACUAUAUCUUUCUAAUAGAUCCUAAUAGCAGGAGUAUAUUUAAAAAUAUUAGGACUUUUGAAGGGACAAAAAUUAAAAGUUGAACUUUGUAAAGAUAUAUCUGUUAUUCAAUAGGUUUAUAAGGAGUUGUAUGCAUUUAACACUUGUUUUUUCUUCUUCCUAUUCGGUUCCAUGUUUUGCUUUUCCUAUUUCUUAAGGUGCAGUUUCUGAUACUACUUCAACUGGGGCAUGUGCAGCAUCGUUUGCUGCUAUUUUUUACUUCAGCUGCAAGAUGUGUUCAUCUACAGUUGCUGCUCAAGCUGCUUUUGUUUCAACCGAGCAAUGCGUUGUUGUUUCUGUUGCCAUAGCUUCUGCAUCAGCUGCUGCUUCAAAUGCAAUUUAUUCUAUUGAUUUAGCAGAGAUCAAGCUGCUGUUGCUUUAGCUGAGAAAUAUGCUACAGCUUCUACAUCUGUUGCUACUUUAAGUACAGAUUAUGUGUAACAUACCAAAUUUUAGUAUAAAAAUAAAAAUAAAUAAAAAUAGUGUGAGAAACUAUUUUUAUUGAAUUUAGAGAAGUAAAACAUAAGUCAGAAAUGAUUUAUGCUGAAAUCGGAAUGAAAACAGAAAAUUUAGAAUUUUCUAUUAGAAACGAGACAGAUAAAUUAGUAGAAAAUAUACAGUAUCAGAAAAUUCUGAAAAUUGGAGGAUAAGCCAGAAUUAUUUUUAUGAGGCUAGAUUUAAAGUUUCAUGUCAUUCUGACACCCGGAAGAUAGAAAAUAAAAUCCGACAGCUAUCUGAUAAAUAUUACAGUUCGGUACAGCUUUCGGUGACCAAACCGAAUCGAAACUAAAAUAUUAAAAUUUUUUUGGACUCGUUAAGUAAAACCGAAUAUAACUGUCAAAUUUGAGCUCAAACAGAUGUUCAGGGAGUUCCGACGAAAAAUACCAAAUUUCGAACUGCCCGAAAAUGAAUAGUGCUUUGGGGUGUAAUGUAUUAAGAAGCCUUUUGCUUCUUCUUCCUCAGCCGACCACACCACCCCACAACACACGCACGCAUGGGAAGGGAGAGAGAAACUCUCCUUUCUCUAUCUAAAGAUCUCUCUCAUCUCUCCAAAUCUCUCUAUAAAAAUUUGAGGGUUGGUAGAGAGCGAACUUGCGAAUGCGUUGGAGGCGUCGGUUCGAGCUCUCGUGCGGCCGUUAGAGCGGCGUGCUAUCGUCGCGGCGUUCACAUUGUGGUAAACUUUUGGAAUUUGGCUUAAUCCUUACCUUUAAGUAUUCUAAUAGCGUCUAAUGAGCAUUGUUAGCAUGUUACUCCAUUUAAUUUGGAUUAUUUAGAGGUUAAUUGCAUAUUAGGGCUCCGAAUCGGAUUUUAGAAAAUAGUAGGGUGUGAUCUCAUUUGACCCUCUAUAAACCUAAUUGCUAGGUGAACGAAUGCGUUGGCGAAGUCGGUUCGGCGAUUCGUCGAGCCUACGCGAAGUUAUUAAAGAAACGGACGUUUAGCCUUCGUUUCCGCCUAGAGGGCCGAGGCGACUUCGUAAAAUCAUGAAAAUGUAUUUGGAGCACCGUGACACAUAAUCUAAGACUUUAAUUUUCGGAUCGUGGAUUGGAGGCCGUUCGGGUGGUCGCGCGAGAGUUCGGGCUGAACCGGAUGCCGGGUGCCGCGGGAGGCCGAUUGCAAGUGACUACAAGCAAUGGGAGAGCGUUACGAGGUGGGUUGUGCUCACCGAAGCGAUUAGGUCGCUUCCAUGUCGAAGUGGAGUAUGGUUUUCUAAUUGAUGCAUACAUACAUUAUGAUUGCUAAUUGCAUUGGUAGUUGAUUGUAAAGUAAAUGAAUGUACGAGAUUAUGCUAAUCAAUAAUGCAUAAAUGAGAUAUUAAUAAGGAAUACAUAAGCUAUAUGCUAAGAGAAUGAAUGAUCUAGAUGCUAAAGUAUGCAUGUGCAUGAAAUGCUAAAGAACAUAUGAAUGUUGAUAUUAUUAGAAAUAUGCUAGCUGGUAUAUGUGGAUGAUGACAUAUUGUGAAUUAUUAUAUUGUGGAUUAUGUUAAAUGGAGAUAUAUACAUGAUGACAUAUUGCAUAUGAUAGAUGAACUAUGCACGUUGACAUAUAGAGGAUUAUGUUAAUUGACAUUUGUAUGUUGAACUUGGGUCGGUAAACUCUAGGUGAAUUAGAGAACUUGACGUUGGAAAAUAAUAACGUAUUGAACUAUGAUAUACGAUGUGGACAAGUAGGAUAUCAAAAAGAUCGAGUGGCAUAUGAUUAGUGUAGUGGAAACACUUAUAGCAUGUUGAACACUUAGAGAACAAGUGUGGCAUUAGUGAAUGAGUUCAAGAAUAUAGUAGUGCAUAUGACCUUAGUUAGUUAAUUCGCGUUUAAUUUGCGAAUUAUUCGCGACUUUUUCGAAAACCGAAUUAAACGCCGGCAUCCGAAUUUUUCCAAAACAUGCGUAAAAAAACGUGUUUUUUUCAGCAAUAAUAAUCAUCCGCGAAUCAUUCGCGAUUCGCGAAUGAUUCGUCCAAAGAAACGGCGGUCGCGGACUCGCGGCCGCGUCGUCGCCGCCAUCGUCGGCGUCCUCCUCCUCCAUCGCUUUCGUCGCGGAACUUUGGAUCACUGUAAAAUUCCUCGAAAAAAAAAAUUUUCGCUAAAAUUUUUUUUUCCAAACAAUAGGUUGUCCCUCAAAUUUUUUUUUAAAAAAUUAUUUUAUAAAUUUUGAAAAAAAAAUCGAGUUUGUGACUUGAGACUUGAGAGCAAGCGGUAGAAAUGGCGCUGGGUUUGGGAAGAAGAAGAAGGAAAAUCGGGGCUUUCGAGAACAGGAUGGGGCGCGGUCCACGAGGCCACUUUGGCCUCGUGGACCGCAUGAGAGGGAGGUCCACCGUGGACCUCCCUCUCAUAAGUCAUUAACUUUAUAUAUAUAUAUAUAUAUAUAUAAAAUUUUAUUUAUAAAUAUAUAUUUAUUUAUUAUAUAUAGUAUUCUAUUUUUAUAUAAAAAUAUUAUUAUAUAACAUUUUAUUUAUAAUGAUAAUAUAGUUUGCUAUUCUUUUUACUUAAUUAGCUUAAUUUUGUAGUUUUUUAUUCUUAUAUUCUUAAGAAAUAUGAGUAUUUAUACUAAUAGAAUAAAUCUUGAGAAAAAAUAAUUUUAAUUUAAUAGCCGAAUUUUUGAUCCCGAAUUUUUAAUUGAAGAACGUAUAAUAUCCGUAUAAAUCACGUAUCCGAAUAAUUACUGAAUCCGUUUUUUAGCCGUAUUUUUCAACGAAUUUAAAAAUUAGAAGACGAAUUUUAUCCGAAUUAUAUCCGUACCGAAUUUUUGCCGAAUCCGAAUUAACUAACUAUGCAUAUGACACAAGUGAUGGUAAACAAUGCAAAGAAAAGAAUGAUUGAGAUAUUAUGACAUUUCAAUAUUAGAGUUAAGGGUCAUUUGAGCAUGGUCAUCCUUAAAGUUAAGGAAUGGAUUGAACUUGGAAUCCUCAAUCCAGGAUUGAUCGUACUCACCUUUAGUCCUUGCUCGAGGGUGGUAGCUCCCCCUCGGGCGAUGUGCUCCGGAGUCGACAUCACUGGGUUGUAGCGGGUAUCUCCCCAGAGAACGGUCCUAUCGGGUUGUAGCGUGUAUCUCCCCGGUUAAUAGGAUUUUGGGUUGGUGAGUUUGUUGAGUGCGAAACCUACGGGUUAGCCAAGAGAUUGGGUAAUAAAAUCUUUCAUUCAUCAUGAAUUGACUCAAGACCGAGUUGAGUGGCAUAGUUGGCUAAGGUCAAUGUAACCUUAGGAAAGAAUGAAAACUGAGUAAAGUGUGGCUAAGAAUAAAGAAUAAAGAAUGACAUGUGAUACAGAAUUGCCAAUAUUAUAAAGAAUAGUAAGUGAUAGAGAGUAGAAUCAAUUAAUCUACUUGUAUGAGUUGCUUGAUAUACAUAUUGCAUGUCUUGAGGCACAAACAUGUAUUUAAUAUUUGUAUUAAUUAUUUGUGGAUAUCUGUUGGAGUAACAUGUUUGUAAUGCCUCCUUUGGACUUGGUGGGUCGAGCUUUUUCCUUGGGUAGCCGUACCUACUGGGAACUAUGGAUAAUAGUUCUCACCCCCGUGUUGUUUUUGGGGGUACAGGUUCACACGUGAGCGGCGCGGCGGUGCGAGGAAAGGGUGUAGCUCCGUAGAUAGCGCCCUACCACCGAGACCAGAAAUAGCAUUACCCCGAGUCGGCUUAGCUAGGGGUUGUAGAAAAGAUGUAAAACAAUAUUGUAAUAAUCUUGAUUGUAUUUGGAAGAAAAGAAAAGGAAAAGUGUAAUAUGUGAUGUAGAAUGUAUUAAGUAAAUUGAAUGCAUGUAAUAACUUAGUUGUUUAUGUUUUUGAUACUUCCUUAUGCAAUCUGUAUGUUGAAUAUCGUUCCUGGUUGGAAACUCUUGUAAUGUAUUGAUUGCGACGCCUUGGACGUACAGGGUAGACUCUGUCCGCGGUACAGGAGAAAUCCUGUCCGUUCGGCGGUCUGUUGGCGUGCCCGAAUCCGACCAAAAAGGCGGGCUCGGGCCGUGACAGAUAAGAUGGUAUCAAAGCAUAAACGAAAUAUAAAAAGAAUAAUAGAAAAUGGUUUAGUUGGAUCUAGGAGACCCUAGGAUAGUAAACCAUAGGAGAUUAAGACUCGUGAGAGCCGAGGACUUGUGACUUGUGGCGAAAGGAUAAUGGAUUGGGUUAUGUCGUAAACCUCUAAAACGGAUAUUAGAGGUAGAUUCAAGGUGUGGUUUAUUCUCAGCCAAGGGUGUUCAUGUUGGGCAUGCACAACAUGAAGCCGAGUGAUGAGAAUAUACGCCUUUGUGUGACUUUCGCCCGAUUUGAGUCAGUGUUAGUUGUCUCGUGUUCGGCCAGAGGGUCGAGGGUCGAAUAGAGUUGUCGCGUUUUAGGAAGCGAUAGCACCGCGUAGGCGAUCUUCAUUUCGAUCGGCGCGGGAUGGGACAAGUGUUGUCCCUGAGCAAUUCAACGUGAGCGGAUUAAGGGACUCCAAGAAAUGGUUGGUCGAUUGGUGAUCGUACCAGUUUCGGCUCGUCGAGUACGGCCGGGAGUCGCAGCGGAAACGUUUUCGUCGAGGUUUAGCAGUUCGUUGGUGGAGGCAGUGAGGAGGGCGAGCUUUGGCGGCCCUCAUGACCUUCAAGCAAUUUGAUCCGCCCACCUAUGGUAGAGAGGAUGCGGAUCCAAGAAUCGUGGAGUUAUGGAUCGACUCCAUGGAGGCUCUCUUUGAGGGUCUAUGUGCUAUGGAGCGGGAUAAGGUACGGCUAGCCGUGCAUUGUCUGAAACAAUCGACGAUGGUGUAGUGGUAGGCGUCAAGCGGAUUUGAUCGCCUAGUUUCCCUCAUGUCGUUUGGGAUGAGCUUCGGGGUGUGUCAUGUUCUACGUACCUCCCCGAUAGUGAAAGGAGAAAGCUUCAGGAGAGGUUCUGGAAGCUGCGGUAAGGAGACCGCACCGUGAGGGAUUAUGAGCGCGAAUUCUCCCGUAUCGUGAGUUGCAUCCCGAAUGUGAAGCGGGAUGAUGAGGAUGUGGCCGAUUUGAUUGUGCGGAGACUUCGGCCGGACAUUUUCAAGGUUGUGCACAUAAGGAAGUGAAUUCUCGAAGUACAAGGAUUGGACUUCGUGUGGAAUCGACUGAGGGUCGUGUUGGUAUGCUUCGGAAGGACCGAAGGCGUCAAAAGUAGUAAAGGUGCGUCAUUGGGGAUCUUCGAGAGCUAGGGAUUUGAAAAUCUGCAAACUGCAGGUUUUCUGCCCUCGGGAACCGGUCCCUGUGGGGAGAGACCGAUCCCAAGAGACUGGUUCCAUCGGGGGGAGAUCGCUUGCCUCAUGCGUAGCCUGCGCGGCCCCCGGGAGAAGCUCUCGAAGACCGGUCCCUCGUCGGGGAGACCGGUCCCCAAGCCCGAAAAUGGCCUAGUCAGGGCAGUGUAAAAGAAUAAAAGUUGAGGGGCUUAUUUGCACUUAUGCAACAUGUGGGGCUAUGUGGGGGGUAUGAGAGCUCUUUUCUCUCAUUUCUCACCCACACACCCUCUCAUAUCUCUCUUUCUCUCUCUAGAAGACAAGAAGAGGAAGAAAAAAGGAAAGGAAAGAAAGAAAAUGAGAAGGAGUCUUCCUUAUCUUCUUCAUCUUCUCCUUGGUUGGAGCUUCACGGAGAGGUAAGCUUGUAAGCUCUCUCUCAUGGUGGAUUUCUAGAGAUAGGUUUGAUUGCUCUAGAAAUGGAGUUUUGUAUUAUCUGAGGGCGUAGUACCUGCCAGUACAGGUAUAGAGCCGGAUGGCACUAGCGAAGUGCUAGAAGUAAUCUAUGGCGAGAAGUGAGACUCGCGGUAGAGAUAGAAGUGGCGACACGACUCUCAGAGCAAUAUGAGCAGUGAAUUGCGAGAGUUGAGCCAUGAUGCUUAUGAGAACACCCGAGUGGUCCGAAAAUUUCGGAUGUCAUUCCGGUAGAUCGAACAGUGAAAGUAGCAUCACUGUUGAGAGAACGGUCGAUUAGUGGCCAAGUUUGAGCACGUGAGCCUAGUAGUACCUCAAGGUAAGGUAGGCGGUUGCGCUCGUGCGGUCGGUGUGCAUAGGCAAAAUUGCCUAAUGCUGGACUUCGUGUGGAACGCUGUAGAGGCAUAGAGCGCUGGAGUGUAGAUAACCGUAGAGUGCGAAUGUGGAUUCAGCUGAGAGAGUGCAUUGGCAGUAGCACUUGAGCAUUGCUAGGUGUGAAGCGUGCCAUGGAUCACUCGUGGGACUGGUGACUCGCACUAGGUGCAUAGGAGCCGAUAUUGGAACGUGUGACUCGAUAGAGUAUGGUGUGUAGGACGACGACGGCGGGUAGUGCUUGGGGAUGACCCGUGCCUAGACCAUUUGUGGACUGUGGAGCCUGAGCCCAUUGAGCAGGCGCAGUUAGUUGUGAGUGACAGCGGCCCAGUACCUACCGGUAGGGCAGAGUUCUGGUCAGAACGGUAGUCCGAGCUUAGACCCGGGAGCGUGGAAUGCCACGUGAUAGAUUGUGUGACCGAUGGUACACCGACUAUGGUUGUGACCCAACUCGAGGACUUGACGUGGUUUGGGGUCUUAGUUGCUCCUGGUUGGAGUGUGUGCGAAUUCCCAAGUGAGAAUUUCGCCCGAUGAUUAUUGGGUCUGUAUUUGCGAGCAAGAGACGCUGCGUAUUGAGACAGAUUUAGGUGAUUGGCCUACGUAGGAUUUGUGGCCUUUGGUCCACCUAUGGAGACCGAAGAAAGCGAUUUGGCAGAUAGCCUUAUCGAGGAGUUUGACUCGAAUUCACGAACGAAGCGCUCGCGUAAGCUCGUUACAAAAAUAGUUUGAUGCUGAUUGUGGCAUGUGGUAUCAGAUGAUGAAGUAUUCCUUAUGAGACAUCGAACUAGUGGAAAGCCACGUGAUGUUGGAGACUAUGCUCGUAAGCGAACUAAGACUUGAGAUGUACCGAAGUGGGCCAUCUCGCGUUAAAGUUAAGGGUCAGUGCGAAAUUAGAGCACUCACGACGGAGCGAUGCAUCGGUGAUAUUGCUUCUAAGCAACGUCGGUGAUCGAAUCAGAAGGUAUUCCCUGAAGGGAAGGUAAGUGCAAAGAAGAGUUCUUUGUGUACCGAAUGGCGAAUGGUAUUGGAGUGCGUAGAGUCGUCGAGUACCGACUUGCGCUGCCACUAUGACUCGCAAGACCCGUGAUGCACUUUUGUAUCACACCUUGCAAAUGUGUCUAGGAUUAAACCCACAUCAUUCCGUAUGAGCCGCUUCUGGAACCACGAUAGUGUAAAGCCGCUCUGGAGUGGGAGAAUGAGUUGGUAUCCUCAAUUGCUCGCGGAGCUGAAUUGAGGCGUGGUUUGAAUUUCGCGGACGAAAUUCUUUUUAAGGGGUGGAGAAUGAAACAUACCAGAUUUUGGUAUAAAAAUAAAAAUAAAUAAAAGUAGUGUGAGAAACUAUUUUUAUUGAAUUUAGAGAAGUAAAACAUAAGGAAGAAAUGACUUGUGCUGAAAUCGGAAUGAAAAUAAAAGAUUUAGAAUUUUUUGUUGGAAACGGGACAGAUAAAUUAGCAGAAAAUGCACAGUAUCAGAAAAUUAUGAAAACUGGAGGAUAAGCCAGAAUUAUUUUUAUGAGGCUAGAUUUAAAGUUUCAUGUCAUUCUGACACCCGAAAGGUAGAAAAUAAAAUCCGACAGCUAUCUAAUAAAGAUUAUAGUUCGGUACAGCUUUCGGUGACCAAACGGGGUCAAAACUGAAAUAUUAAAAUUUCUUUGGACUCGUUAAGUAAAACUGAACAUGACUGUCAAAUUUGAGCUCAAACAGAUGUUUAGGGAGUUCCGGCAAAAGAUAUCAGAUUUCGAACUGCCCGGAAGUGAAUAAUGUUUUGGGGUGUAAUGUAUUAAGAAGCCUUUUGCUUCUUCUUCCUCAGCCGACCACACCACCCCACAACACACGCACGCAUGGGAAGGAAGAGAGAAACUCUCCUUUCUCUCUCUAAUGAUCUCUCUCAUCUCUCCAAAUCUCUCUCUAAAAAUUUGAAGGUUGGUGGAGAGCGAGAUUGCGAACGCGUUGGAGGUGUCGGUUCGAGCUCUCGUGCGGCCGUUAGAGCGGCGUGCUUUCGUCGCGGCGUUCACAUUGUGGUAAGCUUUUGGAAUUUGGCUUAAUCCUUAGCUUUAAGUGUUCUAAUAGCCUCUAAUGAGUAUUGUUAGCAUGUUGCUCCAUUUAAUUUGGAUUAUUUAGAGGUUAAUUGCAUAUUAGGGCUCCGAAUGGAAUUUUGUAAAAUAGUAGGGUUUGAUCUCAUUUGACACUCUGUAAACCUAACUGCUAGGUAAACGAAUGCGUUGGCGAAGUCGGUUCGGUGAUUCGUCGAGCCUACACGAAGUUAUUCAAGAAACGGACGUUUAGGCUUCAUUUCCGCCUGGAGGGCCGAGGCGACUUCGUAAAAUCAUGAAAAUGGAUUUGGAGCACCGUGACACAUAACCGAAGACCUUUAAUUUCUGGAUCGUGGAUUGGAGGCCGUUCGGAUAGUCGCGCGAGAGUUCGGGCCGAACCGGGUGCCGGGUGCCGCGGGAGGCCGAUUGCAAGUGACUACAAGCAAUGGGAGAGCGUUACGAGGUGGGUUGUGCUCUCCGAAGCGAUUAGGUUGCUUCCAUGUUGAAGUGGAGUAUGGUUUUCUAAUUGAUGCAUACAUACAUUAUGAUGGCUAAUUGCAUUGGUAGUUGAUUGUAAAGUAAAUGAAUGUAUGAGAUUAUGCUAAUCAAGAAUGCAUAAAUGAGAUAUUGAUAAGGAAUACAUAAGCUAUAUGCUAAGAGAAUGAAUGAUCUAGAUGCUAAAAUAUGUAUGUGCAUGAAAUGCUAAAGAACAUAUGAAUGUUGAUAUUAUUAGAAAUAUGCUAGUUGGUAUAUGUGCAUGAUGGCAUAUUGUUAAUUAACAUAUUGUGGAUUAUGUUAAAUGAAAAUAUAUACAUGAUGACAUAUUGCAUAUGAUAGAUGAACUAUGCAUGUUGACAUAUAGAGGAUUAUGUUAAUUGACAUUUGCAUGUUGAACUUGGGUCGGUAAACUCUAGGUGAAUUAGAGAACUCGACGUUGGAAAAUAAUGACGUAUGAACUAUGAUAUGCGAUGUGGACAAGUAGGAUGUCAAACAGAUCGAGUGGCAUAUAAUUAGUGUAGUGGAAACACUUAUGGCAUGUUGAACACUUAGAGAACAAGCGUGGCAUUAGUGAAUGAGUCCAAGAAUAUAGUAGUGUAUAUAACACAAGUGACGGUAAACAAUGCAAAGAAAAGAAUGAUUGAGAUAUUAUAACAUUUCAACCUUAGAGUUAAGGGUCAUUUGAGCAUGGUCUUCCUUAAAGUUAAGGAAUGGAUUGAACUUGGAAUCCUCAAUGCAGGAUUGGUCGUACUCACCUUUAGUCCUUGCUCGAGAGUGGUAGCUCCCCCUUGGGCGAUAUGCUCCGGAGUCAACAUCACUAGGUUGUAGCGGGAAUCUCCCCAGAGGACUGUCCUAUCGGGUUGUAGUGGGUAUCUCCCCGGUUAAUAGGAUUUUGGGUUGGUAAGUUUGUUGAGUGCGAAACCUACGGGUUAGCCAAGAGAUUGGGUAAUGAAAUCUUGCAUUCAUCAUGAAUUGACUCAAGACCGAAUCGAGUGGCAUAGUUGGCUAAGGUCAAUGUAACCUUAGGAAAAAAUAAAAACUGAGUAAAGUGUGGCUAAGAAUAAAGAAUAAAGAAUGACAUGUGAUACAGAAUUGUCAAUAUUAUAAAGAAUGGUAAGUGAUAGAGAGUAGAAUCAAUUAAUCUAUUUGUAUGAGUUGCAUGAUCUACAUAUUGCAUGUCUUGAGGCACAAACAUGUAUUUAAUAUUUGCAUUAAUUAUUUGUGGAUAUCUGUUGGAGUAACAUGUUUGCAGUGCCUCCUUUGGACCUGAUGGGUCGAGCUUUUUUCUUGGGUGGCCGUACCCACUGGGAACUAUGGAUAAUAGUUCUCAACCCCGUGUUGUUUUUAGGGGGACAGGUUCACACGUGAGCGGCGCGGUGGCGCGAGGAAAGGGCGUAGCUCCGUAGAUAGCGCCCUACCACCGAGACCAGAAAUAGCAUUACCCCGAGUCGGCUUAGCUAGGGGUUGUAGAAAAGAUGUAAAACAAUAUUGUAAUAAUCUUAAUUGUAUUUGGAAGAAAAGAAAAAAAAAAAGUGUAAUAUGUGAUGAGAAUGUAUUAAGUGAAUUGAAUGUAUGUAAUAACUUAGUUGUUUAUAUUUUUGAUACUUUCUUAUGCAAUCUGUAUGUUGAAUAUCGUUCCAGGUUGGAACCUCUUGUAAUGUAUUGAUUGCGACGCCUUGGACGUACAGGAGAGACUCUGUCUGCGGUACAAAGGAAAUCCUGUCCGUUCGGCGAUCUGUUGGCGUGUCCGAACCCUACCAAAGAGGCGGGCUCGGGGCGUGACAUUAUGCUAUUGCUGCAGCUGUAGAUUUUGCUGCAGCUGAAGCAGCAGACCUUACUUAUCAGUUGUUGGUCCAGCUGCCUGCUUCAACUGCUGAUUGUGCAGUUGCAACUCGUUCUGAUCUUCAGAUGUGGCUGCUGCUGCUUAUGCUGUCUGUGUAGCCGCUACUUGUGCUGCUAUGACUACUUUUGCAAAAGAUUUAGCCAACCAAAACUUUUUGGCUGCUUCUUUUUGACAUUCGACAUUUUUUUUUUUCUUUUUACUAUUUGGCUUAUGCUCUAACAUCUCAAAUAAGAAGUAAUAGAAAAGUUGCUCUAACAUCUUGGACGAAAUAGAAGUGAUCAAAUUGAUAUUUAAUAAAAAUAUUUAUAUUUAUUAAUUUUGGCACCCCAAUUAUACAAAAAAAUAAACAUUGUAACUUUCAUUAGUACAAAAAUUGGGUGGGGUAUUAUUUCAACACAAAACACCAAACCUAGAAAUAUAAAGUUUUUUGACAAAAAGAUCAAGACUUUAUAAGCAGGCACAAACGUCGAUUUCUAUAUCUACGAGGCAUUUUGAGAUCCUCAUCAAUAAGUGUCGUGGACUCCUACUACCCAUUGUCGACGGAUGCUCAGUAGAUGAUGAUGCAGUAUGCUCAUCAGGAUUUGUUGUAGGAUUCUCAUCCAUUGGAGCUAUGUUGGAGCAAUUGAGAAGUUCGCAACAUCUAUCGAUACAAUCCUUCGCUUUUUCCAUCUAGUGACAAAUAGGGCUCUUUCUUCCACUAAAGAAUCAUAACACCCUUUGAGAAGUUCAUAGUCCAUCUUAAGCUUCUUGUACUCCCCAUGAAGUUCUUCAUGCUCAUGGAAAAUCAAAUCAUAUAAAUUUUCAAAAUACUUUUGGUCCUCAUAAUUAACGUCCACAACCACAAAGUCAAGCUCCUCAAGAAGUCUCUCAAUAGCGAUCCUUGCAUCAUGCUCUUUAAUUAUAUUAGACUUUCCAAACGGCGCACCACAACAUAUAAUCACCUUCAUAAUUGGGCUACCCCUUGGAAGUUCUUCAGAAGCUUCCCUCAACAUCUAAGGUAAUUCUAUAUCUCAGUGGAUAAAGGGUAAAUUUAACACAUACAUUACAGAGCAACCGUCGAAAGAUUUUGCUGACAACAACUAUAUAUUGCUGCCAUCAUUGCAUCUAAACGCAAAUUUAAUUUGAGAAAUGAAAUUGGUUUGUGUAGACCCUAGAGUCUUAAGUACUUCUCUAGUUCAUUUUUUUUAAAUUAUGUGCAUACAUAUUUUUUAUUUUGAUCAAAGGUGGAGUGUUUCCAAAUUGCAAACAACACAUAUGAUUAUACAUAUGCAAACACAUCAUAUUUGGAAGGUAGCAAAGUGGGCAAAUACAAAAUUAGCAAAGAUUUAUAUAUAUUACGCAAUAAUAAGAAAGAUUUCAAAGUUGUGUUGCAUCACUGUAUUCAAACACAAUUUGAGAGAAAAGUAGACAGAGUUGCACGGAUGCUUCUAGCCUAAGCAAAGAAGAAAAAAAGAAAAAAAAAAAAAAAGUAGACGCAACAGUCGUCGAAUGCCUGCAUAAAAGAUAAUAGAACUUGUAAGUAAACUUCCCUGCUUAAUACAACUCAGAUGAACUCAAACAACCUACUGAGAAGCAAACUAUUAGCAGUUUUGAAAGCAAUCAUAGCGUACGGUUAACGUCGGAGGACAUGUGGCAUUAUAUAGCCAUCGGCAUGAUAGGGAAACAACGGCACUCGCCAAGAGUUUCAGGAUUUGAUGAGUCAUGAAUCCGGUAGAAUUAUUGCGAGCAUGGUAGAUAAGACGACAUCUGAGAAAUGCAAGAUGAAACCGAUGAUGGACAACGAAUCAGGCGGCACUAGGACAUGGAGAGUAGAGGAAAACGGCCAGGACGGUAGAGCAAAUAAUGAUGGAUGAUGCAGCGGGGAAGGAAAAGGCUAUGGUGAGAAACGUUCAAAGAAUGCCAGGGAUCGGUUUAGUUCAAAAGAGUGAUAAACGUUCAAAGGAUACCAAGAUGCCAGGUAACGCCAGAGGGCAGUUCGAUUCAAGAAAGACAAAAAAAUGAGAAGACGAAUAUAGAAAAUUUGGUUCGAUUUCAAGUAAAUAGAAAAGUCGAUUCAAAGAUAAGGGAAUAUUACUAGACCAAGGCCCCAUUUGGAUACCUCUAAAAACGUAACACUAUGCUACGCCGGUAGGAAAAUAAUCUUAUGAAGCGUUUGGAAGAAAAAAAAAAUGACGUAAUUUUUGGAGUAUAGUUAUACUAUACUCCAAAAAAUGGAGUAAACUUACAAUCCACUUUAACCAAAGGAAAAAAAAAAAAAAUCCUACCAUUUUGGGUCCAAAGAUGUACAAUUUCUAAGAUUUCAACAUAAAAAUUUUAAACUUCAAAAUUUAAAAUUUUAAAAGUCAAUUUUAAUUUGAUUUUAAAUUUCAAAUUUUAAAUUUCCAAAUUCAAAAAGUUUAAAUUUUUAAAUUUUAAAUUCAAAUUUCAAAUUAACUUUCAAAUUUCAACUUUCAAAUUUCAAUUUCAAAAAUGUUCAAAUAUUCAAAUUUCAAAUUUCAAAGUUUCAAAAUUUGAAUUUCAAAUUUCAAAUCUUCAAAUUUCAAAUUUUGAAUUUCAAAUUUCGAAUUUCGAAUUUUCAAAAGUUUUGAAUUAUCGAAUUUCAAAAGUUCGAAUUUCGAAUUCGAAUUGCGAAUAUUCAAAUUCAAAUUUCACAAUUUCAACGUCUCAAACUUCAACUUAUCAAAUUUCAACUUUCAAAUUUUAAAUUCCAAUUUCAAAAAGUUUCAAAUUUCAAAUUUCAAAAUUGCAAAUAUCAAAUUUCAAAUUUCAUAUUUCAUAUUUUAAUUUAAUUUUUAUUUUUAAUUUUUCAAAUUUUAAAAGUUUAAAUUUAAACGUAAUUUUUAAAUUUUUAAAUUUAUAAAUAUGUAAAUUUAUAAAUUAUUAAAUUUAAAAUUUAAAAUUUUAAUUAUACAUUUUUUAAAUUUCAAAAUUUAAAGUUUAAAUGGUAUACUUUAAAUUUCAAAAUUUAAAGUUUCAAAUUUCAAAUUUUAAAUUUCAAAUUUCAAAUUCCAAAUUUCAAAUUUAAAACAUAAAAUCUAAUUUAAUUUUUAAAUUUAAAAUUUAAAAUUUUAAUUUUAUAUUUUGAAUUUUGAAUUUUAAUGUUUAAAAUUUUAUUUUUAAAUUUUGAAUUUUGAAUUUUGAAUUUUGAAUUUUAAAUUUUAAAAUUUUAGAAAUUUAGUUAUUAUAAAUACGAUAGAAUUGUAUGAUAUGUAUCCAAACAGCGUAAAAAUGAAGUUGUGGAAUUUUUUUGUAGUUACAGGAUUCCGUAUUUCAUUUAGACCAAAACCAUAGAAUAAAAAUUCCAUGGAGUUUUUUAACUAUCCAUCCAAAUAGGGCCCAAACCUAAUAAUGAAGAGGAAAGAAAAAAGGGACUGAACCAAAAGAGAACCUGACAGGCAAAGAUGGUUCAAGAGAAUAGAAAAUCUGGUUCGUUUUCAAGUGAAUAGAAAACCCAAUUUAAAGAUGAGGAAGUAUUAUUGGAUCAAAUCCAAGAACGAAAAGAAAAGAAAAACUAGACGAAACCCAAAAAAGAACCUACUAGAUGUAGACAGUUCAGGGGAAUAUAAAAUCUAGUUUGGUUUCAAGAUAUAGAAAAUCCGGUUCAAAAGUGAGAAAAUAUUACUAGACAGAACUCAAGAAUGAAAAUAAAAAAAGGGUAAGAAAAUAUUAUUAGACCGACCCCAAGAACGAAGAGAAAAGAAGAAUCGGACCAAACCCGCAAUAGAACCUAGCAAGUAGGACUCACUCCCGAGAAUGAAGUUGGUGAUGCCACUUGUUUAAGUUAUUGAUGAUAGAUAGAUUUAACCUAUAAAUAGUUUAAAAGUGGGCGGUCGUGUGUAGUUCAGAAAUUAUGCAAAUAAUUAUACUAAAAAAUCAUACUUAUGUUUUGAACAUUUAUGUCCUUUUUAGCAAAUAAUGGCUCAUUUGAUACAUUGAAUUUUAGGAGUAGCUAUAAUAAUUGGUUAUUAGGUUUUUUCUAAGCAUUUAAUUUUUAAAUAUUUAGACUUUUGUGCUAAUGGUAAAUUUUUUUUAUAAAGCAUAUUUAUAUUCUGUAAUUCUUCGAUUGGAGAAAUUGUAUUUAGUUAUUUUAUAAUUUUAAUUUUGUUAUUGUGUAGAAAAUUAUUGGUAAAUAUGACAGCUAUGUACAACACUUCGCAAACAAUCUAGAUCUAUACCUAUAUAUUAUUUAUCCUAAAGUUGCCACAUGACAACUUUUCCUUCAAGGUUGAGUGUGGACUCCAUCCCGAACAAGCUCAAGUACUUCCUCUUCCUCUUUCUUUGGUUGUUACUUCCGUUCAACGGCAAAAUAAAUCUCACCGCUCAUCAUUGCUUUUCUUAUCGCUGUUUUCUCUUUUUUUUGUCAACAUUUUCUAUGUUUUCUUCAAUUAUCUAUCCGUCCCAUCGCACAAGUUACUACGCUAGUAUAGUCAUGAAAUGCAAGUUAUAGAACGAAAAAUUGUAUGGUUAAUUUGUAGAGUUUAGUAUUUUAGGAGCCGUUUGGUUGGGGAAUAAAGGGGGGAUAAGGGAUUAUCAUCCCCUUUAUACCCAAAUGAAAACAAAAGGAGGAGGGGGGGGGGGGGGGGGGGGGGAGGGAUAGUUGUUCCCCUUAUGACCCAUUUGUUGGCGGUAUAGCGGGGAUAACGAAUUAUCCUCGUAUUCCGCAAACGAAAAAUUUUUGCCGGAAUAAUUUUAUCCCAGUCAAACCUUGCUUCCCGGCCUAUCUGGAAUAGCUUGGGAUUUAUUAUUCCACAUUUUGAUGAAUAGUGCUAUUCAAUGUUUGUUUUCAAACUUUAUUAAUUACAAUUAAAAUUAAACUAAGUGUAUAAUAUAAUAUGUUAUAUAUUAUUAAUAUAUUUUUAUUAUAAAAUUAUUUAAUGUACUAUAUAAUCAUAUAUUUAUUAUUAAAUAUUAAUAUUUAAUACAUUUUUAAUAAUUAUAUUUAAUAUAUAUAUAUUAUAUUUAUUAAAUUUAAGUUUAGUAGAUUUUAAAAAUUAUAAAUUUAUAAUAAUAAAAAUUAUAAAUUUAUUAAAAAAUUUUUAUUAUCAAAUUUAUAAAUUUAUUAUUAUAAUUAUUUUUAUUAAUUGUUCCCACCCCUAUUCUAUGUUCAAAAUUUUAAAUUUUAAAUUUUAAAUUUGAUAUUUUAAAAUUUUAAAUAUAAAUUUGAUAUUUAUAUUUUAAUUUUAAAUUUGAUCUUUAUUUAAAGUUUGAAAUUUAAAUUUUAAAUUUUAAAUUAUUGAGUUUAAAUUUGGAUUUAUUUUAAUUUUAAUUCAAUUUAAAUUUAAAGUUAAAAUUUUAAUUUAAAAUAUAUUAAUUUAAAAAUUCAAAUUUAAUAUAAUAAGAAGAGGUAUCAUUAUUUUAACUACCACUUUAAUUUUUAUCCCAUCUUAUCUAACAAACGCUAUUUUUCUUAUUCUAAUAAUAACCAAUUUUUAUCCAACACAAAAUUGUCUAAUCCUCUGGUUAUACUCAAUUUAUACAUAUCUUGGAAUAACCACUUUUUGUUAUCCGAACCAAAACGGUGGCAUAGGAAUAGGGUGGGAACAGCUCUUCUUACCCUUUUUAAUUUUUUAAAUUUAAAUCUUAAAUUUUAAAUUUUUUAUUUUAAUUUUAAAAAUUAUUUAAUUUACAAUUUUAAAAUUAAAAUGUUAAUUUUUAUUUAAAUUAGUUUUUAAAUAUUAAUUUAUAUUUUAUUUUAUUUUAAUUUGAUUUUUUAAAUUUUUAAUUUAUUAGUUGAUUUUUGGUGUAUUUAAAUUUAGAUUUAAUCUUAAAUUUAUAAUUUGAAAUUUAAAAUUUAGAACUUUGAAUUUUUAAAUUUUAGAUUUAAAAUUUUAAAUUUUGAAUUUUAAAAUUUUAAAAUUUAAAAUUUAUAUAUUUAAAUUAAUUGUAGUACUCUGAUAUUUUUGAGUUGGUAAGUUGGGUGGAUGGAAUGCCACGUGCACCUAACCCCCCCCCCUGCAUACUUAUCAACUUAGUUCACUUAGGUUGUACAUCUCUCUAAAUUAAUUUUCUUCUCCUCUCUCUCUCUAGCCGAUUGUGAGCAAGGAGGAGUUCGUGUGGAGCAUUUCGUCGUCGACAUCGCGUCGCAGAGCCGUCCGAGCAUACGUGCGUCGCCGUAGUUUCGCGAGGAGGCCGGGCGAGGGAGUGUUUUUAUCGUUCUCGACGCCGUGCCGGAAUUGGAGUCGCUGGUUGAGGUGGGUAUCUCUCAUUCCUCUAUGGAUUUCUUCUCUACUUCAAGCUUCAUUGAAUUA